UUGCACAAAGACAAUCUCUACAAAUGCUAAGGUUCUUAAACACCCAGACAGGUUUCAGACUGGAGGUGCUUAAAAGGCCAAAAACAACAGCAAUUUUUUCACUGUGCUGGAGUAAAUAUUGUUCCUUCUGUCCCUCCUCCACAUCAUGAAGAACAAAUUCAGUAUUGAGAACAUAACCAAGUUUCUUUAUACGACUAGCCAAUUGGUCCCGUUCGUCAUAGAUGUCCUGAGCCUCCGGGUGUGAUGUAUAAAACUUGUGAACUAUACUUUUCACUUCAAUCCAGCUUCAACCAGUUUCUUUUAUAAGAUUUUUCAGUUUUAUCCUCUUCCUGAUUGGCGCUGCAUCUUCCCAUAGACCAGCUGAUGCAUACAGAUUUGAUAGCAAAACAUAAGCAGCAAGGUCAUCUGGCUCCUGCUUAAAAAUCAUUGCAGCUUCUUGUUUUACAAGUUCAAUGUUGCCGUGAACUCGGCAAGCUCCAAAAAAUGUAUGCCAGACCAAUGUAACAGCACUGAAAGGCAUAGCAUUUAUAAACUUAAGGGCUUCAACCAGGAAGCCCGAUCUUCCCAAUAAGUCCACCAUGCAUGCACAGUACUCGAUUCUGGGCACGAUUCCAUAAUCUGUCUACAUUGAUCUAAAGUGUUUCUAUCCAUCAAAUCCACAUGCCUACAAGAGGAUAAAACAACAACAUAAGUGAUCUCAUUUGGCCUCACACUGGCCUCAAGCAUUCUAUGGAAUGUGACUGGAGCUCUCGUCGCAAAUUUAUGUUUUGCAAAAUUAUUGAUCAUUGAAGUCCAAUUUAUAAUAUUUUUGUCUCUGGUCUCAUGAAAAACUCAAAAAGCAGCUCCUAUGUUUCCACAUAGAGAUCAAACCAUUAAAAAUGCACUGACUUGAGUCGAGCCCUGAUUUUACCACCCUCACAUUAAUUUGCUCCCCCUUACCAAUAGUGCUGAUACAGGCAACUCCACUUAAAAGGCUGGCAAAUGUAAAAUCACUUGUCCAAGGCAUCAUUUUACGAUCUUGCAUCCGAUGAAACACCUUUGUCGAAUCAUGAAGUGAUCCACUUGCUAGUUGUACAUACAUUGGGCUCUCAAGUCAAGUCCACUUAAUUGAACCCACUUCACAAAUUCAAACCCCGCCCAAACAAGUUAGAUCCAAACCCAAUUAACUAAACCAGGCCCAAUUCACCAAGCUACAGCUAAAGCCCGACACUCACCACCCUUGUAGUAAAGACGAAGCCCAAAUCACCAAAAUUACCACUUCAAGCCCAAGGCUCACGAAGUCUAAACGAGCCCCAAAGCCCACUACUCUCCCGCCAUCAAUUUUCCAACCCCGCGACUGCUCCUCAACAUCGUCUCCUUCGAGCAUGCCCGAAACGCCUGCGACCUCCCCUCAUCUUUUACGCUCGGUUCCCUUCUCCCGGCACUCCCCACCUCCAAUCUCUUUCGCGAUGGAGUUUUCACGUCUAUAGAUUAAUACCUAAAGCUUCACUGAACCGGAAACACUCAAACCUUCCACCGGCAAUACUCUAACACCGCCGUCGCUAAUUCUCCGCCCAUCAGCUAUAACCAUUGCCAUGUUACCGGCCACCACCAGCCACUUACUUUCACAGCCAAUAAUGACUGGAGAAGAACAGAAAGAGGAUGGAUUUAGCUGAGACAUUUUAUCGAACACUCGGCGGGCGUCGACUGAGAGUCACCACGACAAGCAUUUGAGACACUGGCCGGAGCCAAUUCCAUCCAUAAUCAACAAACAACGCCCAGUAUAAACAAUAUAAGCCAUGAGAAACUCGGCGUGCGCCAAAAUCAGAGCCGGCGAGCCUGGGUCCGUAGAUUCAUUAAAAACAAAAAAACACACAUAAUAGAGGCGUGGGAGCGUACGACCGUGUGAUCCCUACCCGGCUCGACAACGACGGCCAGAAGGCGAGCCCGAAGCUAAGCUCUGCGUCUCGCUUUCUCUCAGUCCCUUCCUCUGCUCACUCUAGGUUCUCGCUCUCUUCCCCGCCGCGCACCCACCACCCCCCCCGGGGUUCUUCCUCUCGGCCGCCUCUCUGUCCAGUCCCUCUCCCUCUUUCGAAUGCUCACCACCCUCUCUUUUACAAGAAAUCUCCCCGGUGAGUUCCCCUGCCACCACCUAUCCUCGGGACCAAGUUAGGUCCAUUUCCAACUAAGCUGGCCUCUGCACUCGUGCCUAGCACGCCCCCUCUACCAGCCGUAGCCCUGUCUAUCGCUUGCUUUCUCUGCCUCCUACGCGCCUGCGUGAGGGAGAGAAGAAGAGAGAGACAUAAACGUUGGAGGCCUGGGUUGAGAAGGAAGAAAAGAAAGGGCCGGGUGGAGAGGCCAGAUUAGCAUAAUAUAUAUAUACAAAUAUAUUAAAAAUAAUUCACAUGAGCAUUAGCCGGCUAAAAUUGAACUAAUGGAUUAAAUUUUCACAAAUGUAAAAAUGUUUAGAACUUAAUUGAUAAAAAAAUAUUCAUAAUUGAAUUAACAUAAUUGCAAUCGAUUUAUGAUUUUUUUGGUAGUUUUUCCUUUCUUAAGUUUGUACCACUAAAGAAAAUAUGACGUAAAUAGAUUUUUCAGUUCGAGCAAAUUUGCUUAUUCGAGGGCGUAUUUAGUUUAAAUGAUUUUAUAAUUUGAGUAGCUUUUUUUGAAAGGGUUUCCUGUUUGUGAUAUCAUUUACGGAAAGAAAAUGUCACAAAUAGUCCCUAUACUUUUACUUAAUGUGCAAUCUCAUCCCUGAACUUUCAAUUUGCUUAUUUUGGUCCCUGAACUAUCGCUAAAUGUUCGAUCUAGUCAUUCCGUUACUAUUUUUCCUUUUCUUCUUCUUCUUCUUCUUCUUCUUCUCUCUUCUCUCUGCCGGCCAUGGCGGAGCUGGCAGAGGAAGCUGGCGUUCGGUGAGGGCAUUGGGCCUCCCUCACCUGCGUCAGGUGAGGACGGCCCUCACCAGAUCUGGCAAGGGCACCCCUUGCCCGACAUCGGCAAGGGCGGCCCUCACUCGAUGCAGGCGAGGGAGCCCCUUGGCCUGACGCAAGCGAGGACAACCCUCGUCUGACGUAGGACGGCCCUCGCCGAACGUUGGCUUCCCUCCGUCGGCUCCGCCAUGGCUGGCGGAGGGAAGAGAGAAGAAGAAGAAAAAAAAGAAAAGAAAAAGACCAAAAUACCCAUGUUGACACCUAAAUUUUGAUUAAUCAUUUAAUAAUUAAUUGCAUGAAAAUUUAGGGAUUAAUCUUUAACCCCUAAGAAAAAAUAGUAAAAUUGCAUUUCAUGUAGUCGCAUUUGCAUCAGUACUAAAAUGGCAACAAGAUGCAGCAGCUCGUGGUCGAUAAUAUUCACAAAAUGAUUGUCUCUCUCUCAUCAAUGCAUGCAUUAAUUCGGCUGAUGUGGUAGGGGCCCUCGAUCAAUAAGAUGCGCGAAAUGUGGUCUCUCUCUUGCUGGUAUGAAAACACACAAUGAAAGUCAAAAAAAUAGAAGAAAGAAGAGUUCUUGCACGUCCGUUGUCUCUCCCUCGUUAAUGCAUGCGCAUGCAUGCACAAAUUCCGCGAACGUGCAGAUUCUAGAGGAACCCUCAUAGAAGCAAAAUGAGUAAGUGUGGGUGUUAACUCUAGUGAAGCAACGAGAAAUUUGAUGAAGAAAGAAGCAAGUAACAAGCAAGAAAAGUCAAAAGUUGCGGCAGUCCUAUAGAAGGGAGGGACAAGUAGCCGUAUAAGAAGCUCCAAGCAUGAAGAAGAAAUAACCAUCCAACGUCCAUUUUCUUCCCCCUCAUUAAUGCCUGCACAUGCACGCAUUAAAUUGGGGACAUGAAAAUUCUACAGAUGCCUGCAAGAAGAUGGACUAACAUUUUUAUAAUGUUAUCCUUGCUGAAGAGAGCAGAUCGGUGGAAAAAAAGAACCGAACGUGAACAGCAAGGAAAAGUUACGGCUGCUUCCUGGUCACCUGUUCACACUAAAGUCAGUUGUUGCCUAUAAAUAAGCAAGGAUCCUCGGCUUAAAAGGAGGGGAGCUGGGAGGAGGAACGAAGCAUUCACUGAGAGGUUUGUGAGAGCUAUCCGUAUAGAGACACAGGAGUUGAGAGAAAGGAAGAGAUUAAAAAAAAACAACAAGUGACUCUCGUCAGAAAGCAAAAUAGAAAAAUUUUGAGGGGGGCUUCUCCUUCGUUCAAAAAAAAGAGAGACAGAGAGUUUGUCAAAAAAAAAAAAAAAAAAAACAAAAAGGUGAAGCUAAAAACAGAAAAAAGGUACACUGAAAGUGCAGAGAGAGAGAGAGAGUACAGAGACGGAGAAGGGACGUGCGAAGGAGAAGCGCCCACUGUUCUUCUCCUUCGCUGAACUUUCCGCCGGUUUCUGCAGCCCGCGUCCGCGCUCGCUCCACCGCGCCUCUGCACCCACCGUUCGAAGCCACAAGUGACGCCCGCGAACUGUAGCACCUGUCACUGAGUCCUGCUCGUCGCUGCGCCCGCUGUCGCACCGCCGAGUCCUGUCCGUUGCUGCUGCAUUAAGCCGACAACCCGCGCUUCUGCUCGCCCGUCGCCGCGCCCUGCCCAUCGCCGCGCCCGUCGCUGCACUUCAGCCCGGCGUCAGCAUCUCCCUCCAGCGAGUUCCGAGCGCGCCACCGUCUUCGCCGGAACACCAGCAGCACCACCUCUACGCCUGCAGCCCGCGCCUCUGCACCGCGCCAUCACUGCGGCUGCGCCUGGUGCCCGACCAGCCGCUGCCACACCUCCGCACCUCUGCCCGCUCGCCGCCGCUGCUGUGCCUCUUACCGCCCGACGCCAGUACCCGACGCCCGCGUCCGAGUUCCGCCCGUGACCCAGCACCCGACGCCGCGUCAUCGUUCCUGCCGUCGCCGCUCGUCAGCCCGUCGCCCUGCAGCUCGAAGCCACGAGCAAAGCUCGCAACCCCACCGCCUUUGCUUCUGACUUGCGGUCGCUGGAGCCCCGCUCCACUUGUAGCGCCCGACGUCCCUCUCUCGCGCCUGCCCGUGCCGCUGCCGCUCGGUCCGCCCAGCACCACCAGCCACGACGCCCUUGCUGUCCUGAGCUCGCUGACUCGACGCCGGCCUGCUCGCUGCUCCGCCAAGUCCGCCAGCUAUCCCUCACGAGUUGCUGCGCCUGAGCUGCCCCCACAAAGCCCGUGACGAGCUUGACCAGAAGCUGCUGUUGCGUUGCAACCGCCACAGCCCGACCCCGACGCUAGCGAGUCGCACGCCCUCCGCUUCUCCUGCACCAGCGGUGGUUGCUGCUUUGCCGCUCCUGGUCCGUGUUUGUUGCCACUCGCCGGAGCUCCGGUUGACGGCGAACCACCACCGGCAGCAACCCACCACCACAGCCACCUUCCUUAUCCGUGCCGAGCCUCCAUCGUGGUCUACAAAGUACCACUCGUUAAGGCAAAUUUGGAAAAAAUUCAAAUUAGGUAGGUUUAUUUAUUAGAUAGAUCUAUUUUAUUUUAUGUUAUUUUAUCUUUAAUAUUUCGUUUUUUAUGUUAUGUUAUCUUAAUAUUUCGUUUACUUUAUGUGAAUUAGUCCUUAAUGCAUGUUUGAAAAUCCCUGAUGUAUCACCUAAUUCGCAACCGCACAAUGAUUUUUUAUUUCAUCUAUAAGGCUUUAGAUGGAAUAAUUAAUCACGCGGGAAUAAAAUUGAUAUUUUGAUCUUUAAGGCUUAAGAUCAAUUUAUUAAUUUUAUUAGUGAAACAACCAUGGAGGAUUUGGUAUCUUUUAAUUGUUUUGUUUAUCUCAAAAAUACAAAAAAAUUGCAUUUACNNNNNNNNNNNNNNNNNNNNNNNNNNNNNNNNNNNNNNNNNNNNNNNNNNNNNNNNNNNNNNNNNNNNNNNNNNNNNNNNNNNNNNNNNNNNNNNNNNNNAAAAAUUAGUUUUUUUUAAAUGCAUGUUUAGAUGGCAUCUAGGUUAGAUAAAAUCUUUGAAUUAAAUUGCAUGAUGAGAUGAUUUUCUAAGUUGAGAUAGGAGUUAGAUUAGUCUAAUCCUAACUUAAAAUAGAUAAUGUCUCGCUUUAGUUAGAUUUUUUUAUAUUUUAGCAAUUUUAAUUACGAAAUUUUCAUUUAAAAAAUCAUGCGCAUGUCGUGUAGAAUUAGGUUCAUGAAAUGCACGUCAUUUAGUAACUACACUAGGUUCAUUUAAUUAGAAAUUGCUCGUCAUUAGAAUUAGGCCAUUUGGUUAAUUUAGAUUGCACAUUUAAUUAUUGGACAAUUUUCAUUUCGAAUUUCAUGAAAAAUACCAAAAAGAAUUGUCUUAGAAUUAAUUUUAUCCUCUAGGAUAUAUUGCAUGCUUAUUAAGAAAACACAAAAACAUCGCAUUUGCAUCAUACAGUUUAGGCCAUAUUAUCAUGUCAUAUUAUUCCAUGUUAGAUUAGUAGCAUGCAUUGCAUAUUGCAUGAUUUUUAUUAAAUAAGUGAAAAAAAAAAAAGAAAUUGCGUGUUAAUUAGAAAUCAUAUUUAGACUGUCAAUGUGAAUUCUAAUCUAAUAUUGCAGAUGCUUUCGUUGCUAUGAGGUAAGUCCUGCCAUUUAUUCACUGCUUUAUUUGGGUGUUAAAUUGGUGGUUUACGCACCCGCAUGAUCACCCCACAUGUUAGAAAGAUAAAUUAAAAUCAAUUUAAGCUGCCUGCAAAAAAAAAAAAACAUUUUUGAAAAUAAAAAGAAUGGUACCGAAAGGGGAAAUCUAAUGUAACCAAGUCCCCGAACUCACAAUCUCUGGUUCGUAGGAGUGAAGUAAUUCUCCCAUUACUUUACUUGGGUUUCUAAUCUACCCACCAAAAAUAGAUUAGUGGCGACUCCUAAUUGAAAAUCAAUUGCAUGUUAAGAACUUGAACCUAAGUCAUGAAUUGGUAUGGGCUUGGGAGAGCCCGAGUUAAGUCUAGGCUUAACAAUUCAUUAAUCUAAACCGUAGGUGGUGCACCUGAAAUUUAGGUUGCGACAACCCAAUUCCGUUAACUUUAACUAACGGAAGGACGAAAUUGGUCAAUUUUCAAAUCGUUAGGGACUAGAUCGGACAUUUAUUGAUAGUCUAGGGACCAAAUUGAGCAAAUCGAAAGUUCAGGGACAAGAUUGCACAUUAAGUAAAAGUAUAGGGACUAUUUGUGACAUUUUCCCUUUAUGGAAGAGAUAGAAUUCUACUCAGUUAAUGCACGCUAAAGCAAACAAGAAGAGUGUUAGGGUUAUUUGUUUUUGUGAGUUUUCUGAUGAUUCUCUUCAAGAGAUUAUGACAUAACAUGGUUUGUUUUGGUAAUCAAAAAAUUAGUUUGAGGUAAAUUUAUCACAAGUGUAUCAAUUUUGGAUUUUUCAUGAUAUUAAUCCUUAAAUAAAUAUAAAAAAUGAAAUCCAAAUAGAAUAACAUGACUUUGGCAUGAAAUAAUGCUACUAUACACUUAAUGAAUCUUUCAUAUCAUAAACGCUAUUCCAUAAGGAUUAUUAAUCUUUCAAACAGAUUAAUAAUAUACUUAUCGUCAUCUUGUUAAGGGGAAAAAGAUUCUUCCUCCUUUGCCCGCAAAAAAGAGUUUUGGGAGAGGACCGGUUCUUAGCUUUUGAAAUUGGAAACUGGUUGACGCCAAGCUUGUCGCCAUGAAGGGCAUUGAUUUUUUUUGUUUUUGUUUUUUUUUUUUUUUUUGGGGGCCGGGGGGGGGGGGGGGGGGGGGGGGGGGAGGAACUUGGACCGGAUACUGAGGGAGGCAAGGGUGUGGGAGAUCUUGUGGUCAAUGAAGCCAAACUUGCUGACGCCGGUGAAGAAGAUGGUGCUGCCGGUGGAGGAGGAUUUGAGGAGGAGCGUCUACGUGAAGGGAAAAGUCCGAGGGAGUUUGAGGUUCUGGAAGAAGUUGAGGUGGCUCCGCUGGGAUUGGAAGAGGUUGAGGAGGGUGGAUUCGUUGAUGGCAGUGGCUAUGUUCUUUGCUUGAUCCAAAGGUAAAUCUGGGGUUGAAGGAGGGAGGUCUACGAAGGAGAGAGGAGGGAGAGGCCUCAUUUUUCCUUCUUCUUCGAAAGUUGAGAGAACAUUUGAAGAUCUUGCGUUUGAUCCAGUUUAGGUGGUUGAUUGAUCCGGUUCCUACUUUGGAACUGGAAUUGGAUUGCCCGUCACUGAUUCCACUUUAAUGGAACUGGGAACUAGAGCAGCACCUUUGGAAAUCGGCCAGGAAAUUGGCCGGUUUGGUUUGAUCUGGGCAAUCUCAGUUCGGGCGGCUCCCAUUGUAACCCCUAGAAAAUAAGCUUUUGAGAUAGUCGACUUGGAUUGGCUAAUGGAAGAACAUUGGAAAAAAAAAAAACUCAUAUGAUGCGUUUGAUUCACAAAAAGAAAUAAAGUAAUAAUGAAAUAGCCUUCCAUGAGAAUAGAAAAUGUAGGAAUAGAAAAUGAAGGAUAAUAAUAAAAUAACUACCAGUAGUUUGGUUUGUAGAAUGGAAUAUAAUUUCAAGACCAUCUUAUCAUUUUUUUUACCAUUAUACCAUAUAAAAUAAGUUAGGAAUAAUAAAAAAUUCUCAUAUUAAUUUCGAUGAUAGAUAAUUGGAGCUUAAUUUGUUUUAUUGUCGUAGUUUUAAAAACCAUAAAUAAAAGGAUCUGACAAUUUAUAAAUUAUUAUUAUAUUUUAAUGUAAAAUAGUAAAUAGUUAGUAUAGUAGUAAGAAAGCUAGUGUAAUCAUUAUCUUCCAAUAAUAAUUAAGUAAUGCUAUAACUGUAGACAAUAUAAAAGAUCUAAUCAUUACUAUAAUUCAAUAUUAUAUUAUCAGUGGUCUAAUUACACUAUAGUUGUCAUUUAAUUAUUGUAAUUAGAGCACAUAUGGUUUUGGUAUUACAUGAAUAUCUAUAAUUAAUUUGAUUAAAAAUUAUUUUAUCACAGUAUAUGUAUUUUCUAGCAAUUGCUAUAUAUUCUAGUAAUGCAUCAUCUAAUUAUUGUGAUAUCUAAGAUUUAUUAAAUAUUGCAGUUAUUAAAAUCUUUGUUUAUAUAUGAGUCAACAAUUAUGAUGUGGUAUUUUUAAAAGAUGUGCAUUUGAAUUUUUUUUUAGUCAAUUUAUUGCUAUUCUAAUUUUCACUCUCAAACUUUUACUUUGCUUCUUUGUAGGGUAUGGGAGUCGAAAUUUACAUCUAAAACUAAGUUGUCUUCACCCCAACUCUCUUUGAGAAGAUAAGGAUUUGAACUCUCAAUCUCUCAAUUUCCAUGUGAAAAGGAUGGUUUGCAUUUGAAUUUUAAAAAAUCGAUUUCAUUUAGAAUUUAAUAUCUUUUUGAUUGAACGGGAACCUUUUUAUCCACGCUAGUUGGCAUAGUUGGUAACAUUUAAUGUGAAAUAGUACCCAUCAAAUUAAAAAGAUAAACAUAAAAAUAACCUAACUUUGACAAAUCUCAAGUACAUGAUUCCAUUCCCAACUAGAAAAUGGAGAAUUGACACGGAGGUUCUCUCUUUUCCACUUGGCCCAAUACUUGGAAUCGAACAUCUAAAAACUCAAACAAGAAAAAAAAAAAAAUACGUGAGAAAGUUUUCCAAUUCUACCAUAAUUGUCUUGGUCGAUCAUUGAUUUAAUUGCUAAGAAAACAUCACCGUGGCGUUUCUAAUCCCAAAGUCCGUCAAUAUAUAGACUUUAACUAUAUAUAAAUACCUUUCUCAAUGCCACGAUAACCUCAAGAGGAACAGAAAAGGCAAGACACUAGCAAGCUAUAACAAUUAGUGUGGACAAAAAAUUUAGGUCUAGUCGAAAAGAAUCUAAACUCUAAAUGAAAUUGGACUUUUAAAAUUUCAAAAUGUACACUUUCUAAAAACUUGGCAUCAUAAUUGUUUUUUGUUUUUGUUUUUUUUUUUUUGUGCUGGAGGAACCGCCGCGUCGUAAACCCCCAGGUGACACUUAAGCAGGAGGACUCACCACCCCUGAGUCACACUUAAUACACCUAGCACCUUCCCUGAGUUUUGAACCCUUCUAAACUCUAAAAGAAAUUGGACUUUUAAAAUUUCAAAAUACACACUUUCUAAAAACAUGGCAUCAUAAUUGUUGAUCCCCAUCUACUUGCACGCAAAAAGAGAGCCAAGUUUUGACCAAUUUUAUAUCACUAGCAGGUGGGGGUAAUUAACGAGUGGACGGCUUGCUCCGAGUCAAGCUUGGGCGGCACUCUUGCAUGAGAAAGUCUGACCCGCACGACUUUAAUUAGCCUGGUCCUACCAGAUAUAAGCUUUAUGUUCUGCGCGGGCUUGGACAUGUUCUUACUUGACUGGGUAUCAAAUAAAAUUAGCCUGGUCCUACCAUAUAAAGUCUGACCCGCGCGACUUUCAACCGUCGACUUUUAAUGGCUUGAAGCUUGAACCACUUGGAUUCAGACCGUCUUUGCUUUCUCUGAAGGUGUUCAUGUUAUUUAAUGCGGUUUAGCAAGAAAUUCUGCGCUCAUUCCCCUUUACUUGGUUUGGAGUUUCCACCCGCGAAUCUCAUCCUGUGUCAUGGCGGUUUUGUUCUUUUGCCCAUCAGUGCAUUCAACUGGUAGUGAAUCAAAUCAGAUAAUAGCGAGUAAGAUGAUAUUAAUCUUUUGUAUCAAUCAAUACAUCUCCUAGUACAGACAAACACUGUUUGCCUAUUUGGAAAAAUGUAAGACCCCAUUUCAUGUCUCAGCAUUGAGCGAACACAAAAUUCUCAUUAUAUUUAGGGAUUGAGCUUGUGCAUCACAUUUAGGCUUUUGCAUGAUGUGCAUGAUGUGCAUGAUUGGGACUUGUUAAGUAGAGAGGAAGAUUGAAUAACUGAAGAUGAUCGUUUUCUAUCUUGCCCUUAAGAUCAAAAUGAGAUGUGAAAAUUCAAGUUUGUCUAUGUCGAUUCAACUAAUUAAUGAUGCUUAAAAUUCUGUGCUGACAGUCUAAUUAUAUAGUUUUCGAAACUAAAAUAGUCAGGUAUUAACUAAUAUAGCUUUUUGGGAACAGUGUGUAUGGACUUGCCAAGAUCAUAGUAUCCAUAAAAUAAAUGAAAUAUAAUUAAGGAUGAAACCAAGUAACCAUAGCAAUGCACCCUAGUGACAUCAGGAACACUCUGGAAUAGAACAGAGCAUCGAUAUCUAGUAUCUGAAAAAACUGCAUGCUCUAAAAAAUCACAUAGGCAAAAAGCGCCACUGUUUUAGAUUCCACAAAUCAUAUUGCCGAAAGUUUGCAAGAUCCAUUUGAGGCCUUCCGCUUGGUAUUUUGACAGCAGUAUGACCAUAUCUAGGGCUUGCAAGGAGAAUAAUGGAUCCUGGUUCAAAUAACAUAGGUGCAAGGGAGAAAGUUCUAAAAUAGAGAUUCGAUGCAGACAAUGAAUGAGACAAAUUAAGAAGCAUCUCGCCAGUAGUCAUUGCAUGAGCAUGUUCAGUCCGUGCAAUGGUGGAAUUGGUUUGCAUCCCUUAUGACUAUAGAACUUCCAGUUGCCAUGGAGAUAUACUUGAUCGCAGAAUGACAAUCUCUGCAAAUGCUAAGAUUCUUAAACGAAAUAUCAUAGUAUCCAUAAAAUAAAUGAAAUAUAAUUAAGGAUGAAACCGAGUAACCAUAGCAAUGCACCCUAGUGACAUCAGGAACACUCUGGAACAGAACAGAGCAUCGAUAUCUAGUAUCUGAAAAACUGCAUGCUCUAGGAAAAUCCCAUAGGCAAAAAGCGCCACUGUUUUAGAUUCCAUGAAUCAUAUUGCCAAAAGCUUGCGAGAUCCAUUUGAGGCCUUCCACUUGGUAUUUUGACAGUAGUAUGACCAUAUCUAGGGCUUGCAAGGAGAAUAAUGGAUCCUGGUUCAAAUAACAUAGGUGCAAGGGAGAAAGUUCUAAAACAGAGAUUUGAUGCAGACAAUGAAUGGGACAAAUUAAGAAGCAUCUCGCCAGUAGUCAUUGCAUGAGCAUGUUCAGUCCGUGCAAUGGUGGAACUGGUUUGCAUCCCUUAUGACUAUAGAACUUCCAGUUGCCAUGGAGAUAUACUUGAUCGCAGAAUGACAAUAUCUGCAAAUGCUAAGAUUCUUAAACGCCCAGAUAGGUUUCAGACUGGAGGUGCUUAUAAGGCCAAAAACAAUGGCAAUUUUUUCGCUGUGCUCAUAUAUUGUUCCUUUAGUCUCUCCUUCACAUCAUAAAGAACAAAUUCAGUGUCCAGAAGAUCACCAGUUUCUUUAUUCGACUAGCCAAUUGGUCCUGUUCGUCAAAGAUCUCCUGAGCCUUUGAGUGUGACAUGUCACCUGUAUAGAACUUUUAAUUUUUCACUUCAAUCCAGCUACAACCAGGUUCUUUUGUAAGACUUUUUAGUUUCAUCCUCUUCCUAAUUGCUACUGCAUCUUCUUAUAGAACCAGUUGAUAAAUACGCAUUUGACAGCAAAACAAAAGCAGCAAGGUUGUCUGGCUCCUGCUAAAAAAUCAUUGCUGCAGCUUUUUUUGCAAGUACAACAUUGUUGUGAACUCGGCAAGCUCCGAGAAUUGUAUGCCAGACAAGUGUAUCGGCCCUGAAAGGCAUUGAAAUUAUAAACUGAAGGGCUUCGACAAGGGAGCCUUAUCUGUCCAAUAAGUCCAUGCAUGCAUAGUAGUCGAUUCUGAGCACGAAUCCAUGUUCUGUUGGUCUAGAGUGUUUCCAUCCACCAGAUACCAAACCCACAUAGCUACAAGAGGAUAAGACAGCAACAUAGGCGAUCUCAUUUGGCCUCACCCUGGCCUCAAGCAUUUUAUGGAAUGUGACCAGAGCUCUCGUUGCAAAGCCAUGUUUUGCAAAACCAGUGAUCAUUGAAGUCCAAGUUUUAACAUUUUUCCCUCAUCUCACGAGAAACUCAAAAAGCAGCUUCUGUGUUUCCACACCUGGAAUACAUUGAGAUCAAACCAUUGAGAAUGCACUGAUUUGAGUUGAGCCCUGAUUUGCUUCCCCUCAUCAAUAGCGCCAAUACAGGCAGCUCCACUUGAAAGGCUGGAAAAUGUAAAAGCAUUUGUCCAAUUCCUCUCUCCUCAAUCUCAUGUAGAAGUUCAAAGGCUUCAUCAGACUCCAAACUUUUGGCAAAGACAUCUGCAAGGGUAUCAUAAGAAAUCAAAUUCCUUUCAAAUAGUGCACCAAAAGCUCUCCAAGCAUAUGAUUGUAUCCCCCACAAGUAUCAAAUGCAAAGCACAUUUUUAAAGCUACAGCGUAUAUUUGAAUCCCCAUGUCUAUUAUCACAAAUACUUCCACAUGCCUUGAGAGCACUAGCUAAUGUGAAAUGGUGCUCAUUUUCUUCAGUUUGCACAUGUCCUGUGAUUAUCGGUGUCCAAGACAUCACGUUGCAAUCUUGCAUCCGAUUAAACACCUUUCUCAAAUCAUGAAUUGAUCCACUAGCCACACAUUUCACGUACAUGUCCACCAAGCUGCAUCCAACACAGACAUCUGAAGCCAGUCCAGACCAUAUAAUCAGGAAUGCAAUUGCGCCCCAAGGGAUAGUAACUCCAACCCUGAAUAUGCCGACAUAACAGCUGUAAGUGUAAAUCUAUCUGGCACAGCCCACUCCCCAACAUAUCCAAAAACAAAUCAACAGCUUUAUUUGGACAACCCAGCUGAGUACAUCUGGUCAUCAUCAACGUCCACACAACCACAUUCCUCUCGGGCAUUUUCUCAAACAACUUACGACCUGAAACCAAAUCAGCACUACCCUGCGAAAACAAGUCAAUUGCUGCACACCCGACACACACAUCAGAAUCAAGAUAGCCGCUUUUGAUUAUAAACUCGAAAAUCUAUCGCCAAUUGAUGCAUUCUUCGGAACCGAACAAGCCCGAGGGUAAAAAAAACCGUCUUCAAGCAUAUGAACGAAAGUAUCGACAUUUCUUUUCCUUUUUUUUUUUUUUUUUUGGGUCGAAGUAUCGACUGCUUCAAACGCGAUGUGGUUAUUGGCAUAUCAAGAGAUCAUGGAAGUCCAAGAAACCAAACCCCUUUUAUUACCCAUGUCCCUCAAAGUCCUCUCCGCCUCAGCCCAGUCAUUGCAUUUUGAGUAGAGACUGAUAAGCGAGUUGAGAACCACCGAGUCGGGCUCAGCUGGGACGGAGCGAGCGACCGAUGGACGCGCCUCCCGAGCGCGAGCCCUCGGGAGCGAAUGCAGGACUUGAGGAGGAGAGAGAAAGGUGAGGAGGUCGGGAUGGGACCCAUCACGGGACAUGAGGUCGAGAUGGGAGAAUGCUCCGCGGAGUUGGCAGACAUCGAGGUCGGUGACCAGGCGGCGGUCGAUGGGCGAGGGAAGGGGAGAGAGAGAGAGAGAGAGAGAGAGAGAGAGAGAGAUUCAUUCCAUUAUACAAGUCGAGCUUGAUCUGAAAUGUCAGGAAACAAGAGAUGAAAACAGAUAGCCAAAGAGGCAAUUCUUCUGCAAAACAAAGGAUGCUACAAACGCUAAAAUCACGAUUUUACGUAGUCAAUUAUGCUUCGGAUGGAACUAACUUUAUUUGGCGUUCAUUCAAACCGGAAAGAAAAGAAAAUCAUACAAUGUGCGAUUGUGGAAUCUCGUUGCUAUUUUGAAAUUGGUAUGCUUCAGAAAUUGUUGGGGCACUUGAUGUAGUUGGGAAUGAUUCAAGUUCUAUUUCAGCAUCCACAUCAUCAAAUGGCUUCUCAGACGGAUAUAGAAGUGGCUUAGGAGGGAGUUGAAGCUUAUCGAUAUCUCCUUCAAGCAUGUUUAGGACCCGGCUCAUUGAUGGCCGAUCGUUGGGGAUUAACUGUAUACACCAAAGGGCAACUAUUACCAUCUUCCUCAUUAUCUCCAUGUCCCAUUCUACUUCUUCUAUUUCAAUCUCGUUUUUUCUGCUAAGUUGAUCAUAGACCCACAAAGGGAAAUAAAUUUGACUUGAACGUUCAACAUUCGCCUUUGCAUUUUUCCUCCGACUAGCCAUUUCCAUUAGCAACAUCCCAAAACUAUAAACAUCAGCUUUAUAUGAGACACCACCAAUGUCCUUGUAGAAUAGCUCGGGAGCCAUAUAUCCCAAAGUUCCUCUUGCUGCAGUCAACGAUAUUAUGCUAUGAUCCAUAGGAUAAAGUCUUGCAAGCCCAAAGUCAGAAACUUUUGGGGUGAAAUUUUUAUCUAGAAGAAUAUUGUGAGGCUUGAUGUCGAAGUGUAGAAUUUGCAUGUCGCACCCCCGAUGUAAAUAUUCGAUGCCCCUGGCCACCCCGAGAGAGAUCUCAUAUAUUUUCUGAUAGUCAAGAGAAUUGUCGUCAUCUUUAGAGAAAAUGUGUUUAUCCAAAGAUCCGUUUGACAUGAAAUCGUACACGAGAGCUUGCUUAGAGUUGUUGAAGCAAAAACCAACAAGUUCCACCACGUUAACAUGGUGGAUUCUUCCAAUAGUAGCCACUUCACUUAUAAAAUCUUGGCCAUUAGAUUUUGGUUUGUUCAAAAUCUUAACAGCAACUUCAUUGCCACUUCUAAGUAUUCCUUUAUACACAGAGCCAUAUCCUCCUUCACCUAAUUUGUGUUUGAAAUUUUUUGUGAUUUUCUUGAUGUCCGAGUAAGAGUACCUUAUGGGCAAAAAGUUAUUAUGAGCUUGUAGGAAUUCUUCAAUCUUUCCAUCCAUUGCUUGGUGCCUUCUCAUCCACUUAUAGACUAAAAAUAUCAAUACACAUGGAGCUCCGAGUAUGAAUUUUGCCGCAAGGAACUGGGCUGUGGAAAAAUUUGUCCAUAGAUUAGCGUAGUGUAAUAUAGAAAGUUAUCCUUUUUUGGGUCAGAUUGCCGCUUGAGAUUUUCAUGGUUGUGAGGAAUAAAGGACUAGUCAGUACCUAAGAAAAAGGGGACAUAAGGAAGUGCAUAUCUCGCAACUAUCGCCACCAUAGAAGUAUCUGUAGCAAGCAAGAGAAUUUGUUUAGAGAUGACUGAAAAUGAUUAAUAAGCAUUAACAAUCAAUCGAUGGAGACCUAAAUUAUUAUUUUGGCGGUAAAGUAUAAAAAUAGUACACGUUAAGCUAUGACCAAAUAAAAAAAAAAGAAUUGAUACAAUCACUGCAAAGUGCAAUGACGGACUUUUAUUUAUUAAAGUUGCAAAUGGAGAAGUCUAGAACAAAGAAGAGUGACUGAGUUUCACUCUCCCUUAUGGCAUCUAGAUCCAACUUUAUUCAUAUACUCAAGGAAUCCAUGUUAUCAUAGCGUGAUCAUUUUUAUUGAAGAAAGAUGAUUUCGCUUUUGUUCCCUAAAUAUACCAAAUGAUUACGUUUGCCAGUCACUCGUGUGUAAUUCUGAUUUACAAAUAUCAUCUAAUAUAUGCACAAUUUAUUCUCCUGCAUAGUAAUACCCACCAUGAAAGUGACACAACGUACUAUGUAAUCAAACAUUUUUCCCUAAUAAAAAAUAAAGUAAUCAAAUUCAGAAAAGCUCCAUGGGUUAGAGAACAAUAAAAGAGAGAUGCAUACUAAAUCUAUUCGGAAAUCUUAUUGAACUUUUUUAUUUCAGUGAUGUGGCAAUUUUUUUUAUUGGGUAUUCAAAGAAAUUAGCAAGGCAAUGUGUGAGUCUCACAUAUGAUGAUUAUCCAACUGAAACUUGCCGUGUUACUCGAUAAGUAAAUUUUGAUAAGAUAUCUUGACAGAGCGGGCAUUUAAGAAGAGGAGGAAGGAGCGAAGAAAAGCUAAAGCGAAAGUCGCUUACUAGAGUUAUGUUCACUGCACCUUCCCCGGUAGUUGAAACCGCAGAAGCAAAACCAAGAUAUUCCACUUGACGAACUCCGAUAGGAUAGAUUGAAUCCCUGCGCCAUGUCGUUGUGGAUGUCCUUGUAUGAUGAUCUCCCCCUAUAAUACUGAUCCCUUCCCCAAUCCGAGAAAGAGUUCGAUGCCAAUGUCAUCAUGGUUAUAGUGCAAGAAUCAUCGAUGUCUGACGCACUUCCACCACACGCAAAGAAAACUGAUUCACGAAACCCACGAAAGGCAUAUGAGAACACCUCCGUCUGGGAAAAAUCUGGAGACAUGCCGGUAGAGUAUGCUCCCCCGAUGCACGGUUUGGUAUCAACAUACAAAGAAGAAGCAGCCGGCUGUGAGCACUUCACGAAGACCACUGAGUCCGAGAUAAAAGGAUCGUAGGGAUAAAAUCCACUAAAGUUGGAGUUCAUCAACGAGUGAUGGGGAAGGGAUGAGCAAUUACCCUCUUGCAGGCCAUUGUCAACCAGCUUUAUGACGCCAUUGAAGUUAACUUUGUCACCAUAAAAAUCAUAAUGGAUCGACUUCACGUAAUAUCUACCAGCUCCCCAAUAUAGAACAGUGCGGUUACUUUCACAAAUAAGCUCGUAAUCGGAGUGACCGCAACCUUUUCGAUCGCUUUUUAAUCGAAAGGGAUAACUUAUGUUACGAAUGCCACCGCAAGAUGAAGCAAUGCAUAAGUGACUAUUCUUCGCAUUGGAACUCGUCCCUAACAGCAAAAUUUGCAAUAUAAGCAGAAACACAUGGUACACGCAUAUGGAGCCGAGAGAAUUAAUCAUCUCUCCACUCCUCGAUGCAAGAAUGGUGGUUUUAGCUUGGUGAUUGUGGCGGAGGCUCAACGAGGGGAGGAAUUAUAUAUUAUCGAAAGGAUCAGCUGGGGGAUCAACUAUAAUUGAAAUUCCCAAGUCAACAAGCAACACCAAGUCAAGUCAAGAAAAGAAACUCAUGUGGACCAAUCAAAGGUUCCAUCAGUGAAAAUUACGCAAAGAUUGUUGUACACGCAACCAAACUCACAUGACACGGCGGUGAAUUGAUUUUUGGAUAGCAGUCACACUGAUUAGGAGGCAAAAAUCAACAAGAUGCACCACACGAACUUGUGGAUCCUUCCUGGACACGUCGGUUAUGAAAUCUUGGCCAUUAGACUUUGACUUAUUUAAAGUUGUAAUAAUAAUUUCAUUGUCCUGUCUAAGUAUUCCUUUAUGUACAAAGCCAUAUCCUCCUUCAUCUAGCUUGUCUAAGUAUUUCUUUAUAUACAAAACCAUAUCCUCCAUCUAGAUUGUGCUUGAAAUAUCUUUUUAUUUAUUUAUUAUUAUUUGAAUAUCUGAGUAAAGAGUAUUUUAUAGGAAAAAAGUUAUUAUGAGCUUAUAGAAAUUCUUUGACGUUGUCGUCCAUGCUAGGUGUCUUCUCAUGCACUUAUAGGUUAAAAUUAUAUCAUAUGAAUGUUGCUGCGCUGCUAUGAGUUGCAGAGAUUAUUCCGCAUAGAUUAGCCAUAAAACAUCUGUUUGUGUUGCCCAUAUUAUGAUAAAAGUUCUGCAUAUCAUUUGCUAUCCAUUCAAUCCGAUGUUAGACCUGAUUGCAAUUCCACUAAAGAACUGCAUAUCAUCUGCUAUCCAUUUAUGAAUAUAUUGCACUUUCAUUUACUCGCAAGUAGCAUAUAAAUGUCCUUCAAACAGAAUUCGACCAUUUGCAAUCUUAACUUGGCAUGACAUUACGUGUAACUAGACUUGAAGCCACACCAUGCGUAUAGUGGAGGUCCUACCAACAUUUCUCAAGGAAAUUGGUUAGAUUACAAUUAAAGUGAUUAAUUGAAAGUGAUUUGAAGAUUAUAGCAUCAAGUGAAUAAAAUUAAAGUUUAGUGAGCACGACCGAGAGUCUUGAUUGUUUGUAUUAUCGCAUGUUUCGUCACCCAUCACGUAGAAACUCAUAGAAACAAGGAAGUGAUUCUGUUAAAACGUGACUUUACUGGAUUAGUUAGAAUUUACAUAGAACGAAUCCAAAGAAUACAUUCUCCAAACAAAUUAAUCAUGCAAAAGGAAGGAAAAAAAGUUUAUGAGUGUAGAGAGUCAAAUACAAGACUGUCAACAUAUUCAGUUAAACUCACUUUCACUUAAAAAAACUGACGUUCACUUAAAAUUUAAAUAGAAUCGGCUAAGUGACAAUGAAUAACGAGGGAGAGAUGAGCAAUUAUCCUUUUGCAGCCCGUCGUCGACUAAUUUGAUUUGGUCAGCAGAAUAAUUGAUAGAUUGCACAUAGUAUCGACCAUCACUCAAGUACCAAACAGUUCGAUUAUCUUCACAUGUCAAGCCAUACAAACUUCCAUUUGGGUUACUCGUCAAUCGAAACGGGUGGCUUAUAUUGUGAAUGUCGCCACAGGAAGAAGUGCUCCAUCGAUUACCUGGCUCGACAUUAGUAGUCAUUCCUAGAAAUAGAACAAGAACGAGCAGCAACACUUGAUAGAUAUGCGUGGACCUGAGAGCACUGGUCAUGUUGAUAUUGCUAGUAUGAGUACCUAGAGGGGGGUGAAUAGGUGUCUAAACAAUUUAUCGAUAUACGGAAGCGAUUCUUAGCAUAUGAUAGAAAGUAAAUUCUCUCUUAAUUAACAAAAUGAAAUACGAUCGAGGUAGAGAGAGUAAGGAAGAGAAAAUUGAACACAGGAUUUAUAGUGGUUCGGCUUAUUCCAAGCCUACGUCCACUCUUCCGCACUGACAGCCCACCGGCUGGAUUUCACUAUGAUCAAAAGAGAAGUUACAGCAUAGCUUUGCCUUGAUUCCACAGUGUAGAUGUUCUAUCACACCUCCUCAAGGUCUCUCACAAAUAUAGACUCUCUUUUCUAUACAAGUAUUCGCUCAAAGGAUUUAUCUAAACAAAUAGGAGCUUCAGACUUUAGAAUUCUUCUAUCGCGCACACCUUGAACAACUAAGACAGUCUUCCUUAUAUACUCCUUUAUGCCAUCAUACCCGUUGGCACUUACCAAAGGAAUUCCUCCAAUCUACCCGUUGGACGGAAUCAAUUAGGAAGAUUGUUCAAGCUAUUAAAGCAACGUGUUGAUAGCCCAUCAAUCCUGUUCGCCCAUACAAUCAGGAUCUCGGUUUCCAUAAGCAGAACCUUCCAAUAAUACUUAGGCAAUCACCGGAUCUUCAAUUAUCGAAUCAAUCUUCGAUCAAUCAAAGGACUCUGUUAUGUCUUCUCCAGCCACGAGAUCUUCUCCAGUUGAUAAAGUCAAAUCCUCAACGAAACAUUCGGUUCUGGAUAACCUUUCUUCAACGGAUUAGAGACUAUCAAUGAGGAUAGACUUUGAGUCUUGAGUCUGGCUGUCUGGAGGUCUUCAUACUUUAAAUAGCAGAGUCUGCAAGCCUUCAGACUAGACUGAUAGAAACGUUUUGUCAACUUCAAAAUACUUCAAGAAGAUUUCUUCAACAAUCUCCCCCUUUUUGAUGGUGACAAAACUUUCCUGCAGAUUUGGAUAUCUUUGACCUGCAAAACAUUCCUCAAACACAUAUGCAUAUCUUAUAGAAAUAAAUGGCUAACAGAAUAACACUAGAAUCUGCAACCACAUAAAAUAGGUUAGUCCAGUAUAUGAUUAAGCCAUUCAUAAGAUAUCAAUAUUGAUUAAUAGAAGUAGUCAAGUCCAAGUCUAGGCAGUUCUUAUCCAGACACAAAACAAAGUCAAACAGGUUUAAACCAUAAACCUCAAAACAAUCCAACAAACAAAAAGUUUAAUGAAUGAAAAGUUUUUGAUCAAAUCUUGCAUCUCUCCCCCUUUUUGUCAUCAUUAAAAAGGAUGAGAUGAAGUUAAGAUUGCUUGGGAACGCGGACAAGCUGGAAAUCUUCCAUAGACUGAACGAUGCCUUCCAGCCUCUUAAAGUCUUCCUUUAGUUGUGCAAUCUCCUCACUUUUGGCAUUGGACUGAUUCUGAAUAGAGAGGGCUUGCAUUUUAUCAUUCAAUGAACAGGAAGAAGCUUGACCUUCAUUCUUCAAGCUUUGAACUUCGCAUCCCAAGGCAUAAAUCUGACCUCGCAUCUCCAAGAGAAUAUCCAUGAUUCUGCGAAAAUCUGCUCCAUUAUCAGUCUGAGUACUUGCUUCGGCUCGAUUUGAUGGAGUAAAUGCAGAAGAUGGUAGAUCAGCAUAAUCUUGCAGAUUUGGCGAUGACACUUCAUGACCUUCUUCUGGAAACUAAGAUGCAUAAACAUCCUCUGGGUCUGCUGGUGAGCGACUGACUCCUUCACUUGCAUCAGGACAUGAAGACUUCACUCCUUUCUCCUGAUCUCCCCCUGUUUUCAUGCGUACAGGUGGAGAAGAGUGUUCCUCAUGUUCUCCUUCUUCUCUUUUUUCUUCUUCUGGUCUUUCCUCCUCUGUUUCUUUUUCAGCUUCUAAUUCUUCUGCUUCCUUCUCCUCUGCUUCCUUUGUCAUUUGUUCCGAGUCUUGCUGUGGAACAGGACGACUUAAAUUCUUUAAGGCCAAUGCAGAGAGGGUGAUGUCUUCCUCAUCAUCUUCAUCCUCUACGAGGAGAGCUCUUCUUUUCUUGGAUGGAGCAACCAUGGGCUCCUUCCCUUUUCUUUUAGCUGCAGAAGAUAUUUGAUGAGAUUUUGCAGGAGUCUUCUCCUUGAAUUUCUCCAACUCCUUGCUCAGUUCUUUCAGACGCAUUUUGGUAACCAUUUUCAGACCUACCACCAUAUGAUCGCAUGGUCGAACACAAAGGAUUUGUGGAGGUUGAAUAUUCAGAUGUCUGAAUAACUUCGUAACAAGGCUUGGAUAAGAGAGUUGACCUCUGUCCUUCAUCAUUGCCCUAUACAUGUGAAACAUCACAGUGUGAGGGAGAGAAAACCUUUUACCAAAAAGAAUGGCAUACAUCAGCUUGACCUCUAAACUUGAGACAUCAGUCUUGGAAGUUGAUUUUGGUCGGAGGCAAUUAAUCACAAUCUUGUGAAGCAAGAUGUUGUAUGCACCCAUCCUUAAGUAGGUGAUCUUUUCAUCUGUUCUCCUGUCCUUCACUAGUUCAAGUGUGGCCCGAGCAAUGGAAACUUUGUUUGUUUGAUAUCUUCCUCUUUCGACUUCUAACACAUAUGCCAGCAUGUUCAUAUCCACAACAUAGUCUUGGUCUUUUACGCUGAAAGAGAAUCUAUUCGCAUCCAAAAAGCUUAGAUUUGAAUAGAAAUAUGCAGUUAAUUCAGCAUAUGCCUCUGUAGAGUCAGAGCAGAACUUUUCAAGUUGAAGAUAACUGAACUUUUCCCUUAAGUUUACAUUCACUGCAUCCAGAAAAUCAAAAUCCACACUCCUGGGGUUUAUUACCCCACGCUUCAGCAAUUUUGAGUACAGAUCCUUUUGCUCCUUUGAUCUGAACAAAUCUCCCCUUUUUCCUUGAUUUUCAACCGCAACACCCAUCUUCGGUUGAAAUUGACUGUAUAAUUUAUCAUCAUCAUUCCCAUCCACAGGAUUCGGCCCCCAGUCACGAGGAUCACUUGGGAUAUUUGCAAGGGUUUCCUCAGCCACCCCUUUUCGAGCAAUUCCCAAACUUUCCAUUUUUUUCAGAAAAAUAUACUCGUUCCCAUGUCCUUUUUCUUUAAGGAAAUCAUCAAUGUAUUUCAAAGGAGUACGAAUUCCUUUUAGGGCACGAUAUAACUGGUAAAUAUAAGCGGGCUUUUGAACUCUUACAGGGUCUGCAUCCUCGAUGAUUUCUUCCUGUUGUUGAUGAUCAACUCCUUGAGGACUAGAUGGAGGAGAAUGACGCUAUUGAGAAUGUUGUGGGCUCGCUUGCUGUUCUGGAGUCACUUCAUCUUCAGUAAGAUCGAAGUGCGUAGGCCCAUCACUCAUCCUCUGUGGUCCCCUGCUUGCGAUUCUUGAGGACUUUCUUGAAGAUGACAUCUUUCUCAGUUUUUGGAAGAUUCCUUGCUUGACUUUCCCGGAAAAGAUGACAACUUUUUUUAGGAUUGAACGAAGAAGACAAACGGGAAUGGAGGAUUGAUGCUUUCUAGGGUUUUUGAGAGAAAAGUGAAGAGGAAUCGACAGUGCUUGUUCGGUUAAAAAGAAGGGCAAACGAACCGUCACAAAGGAAAUAAAAAUAUACCUUUUCAAAAUAACUGUCUUUAUCCGCAAAAAUAGCUAUUUCAAAAAUAACUUCCCUUUUGUAAAUGAAGCGAUGCAAUAUUUAUGUCAAUUAAAUAUAGCAACAAUUUAAACACAGUCUGAUGAUCGUACCUUUUCAAGAUGAGACUCAAGGAAGAAAAACUUACAGUCUGACGGACGUACCAAGACUAUCUUUCAGAUAAAGUCUUGUAAGUCUGAGUCUGAAGGUCUUUAGACUUUGAUAUCCUCAUACCUCAAAAUGUUGAGUCUGGACCGUAUAGACUCAAAUUGAUUUUUCUCCAAAGGCUUUGUGAAUAUAUCAGCCAGUUGAUUCUUUGAGUCAACAAAUUGAAUUGAAACAUCUCCAUUUUGAACAUGAUCUCUAAUAAAGUGAUGUCGAAUCUCUAUAUGCUUUGCUCUUGAGUGGAGAAUUGGAUUUUUGGUGAGGUUGAUAGCGCUGGUGUUGUCGCAAUUAAUCUCCGUGCAUGAGUCUUCAAUUUCAAAGUCUUUUAGCUGUUGUUUUAUCCAUAGAAUUUGCGAACAGCAGCUUCCCAGGGCUACAUACUCUGCUUCUGUUGUUGAAAGAGACACAGUGCUUUGUUUCCUUGAAAACCAAGACACUGUCCUGCUUCCAAGCAACUGGCAAGUUCUCGAAGUGCUUUUUCUAUCAACUCUGCAACCGGCCAGAUCUGCGUCUGAAUAUCCCAGAAGAUUAAAGUCUCCCUUCUUAGGAUACCAAAGACCGAUGCUUGAUGAUGAAGCCACGUAUUUAAUGAUGCGUUUCGCAGCACUGAGAUGGGAUUCUCUAGGAUCUGAUUGAAACCUUGCACAGAUGCAAACACUCAACAAAAUGUCAGGUCUAGAAGCAGUAAGAUAAAGAAGUGAACCAAUAAUGCUCCUGUACAGCUUUUGAUCAACUUUCUUUCCUUCUUCAUCUUUGUCUAUCUUCAAAGAACUUGACAUCGGUAUGUCGGUCUUUUUGCACUUCUCCAGUCCAAAUCUUUUGACAAGAUCAUUAACAUAUUUUUCUUGAUAAAUAAAAGUUCCUUCCUUCAAUUGUUUUAUUUGAAGACCAAGAAAGAAUGUUAACUCUCCCAUCAUACUCAUUUCAAAUUCAUCCUGCAUAGACUUAGAAAAUUUCUUGCACAUAUUUUCAUUUGAAAAUCCGAAAAUAAUGUCAUCCACAUAUAUUUGAACAAGUAAGAAACUUUUGAUUUCCUUUUUGAUAAAUAAAGUCGUAUCUACUUUACCUUUAACAAAACCAUUUUGAAUCAAAAACUUACUUAAUCUGUCGUACCAAGCUCGAGGUGCUUGCUUUAAACCAUACAAAACCUUUUUCAGUCUGAAGACUGAGUCUGGCUUCUUUGGGUCUUCAAACCCUGGUGGUUGUUCCACAUAAACUUCCUCAUGGAUAAAUCCAUUUAGGAAGUCGCUUUUGACGUCCAUUUGGAAUAACCUGAAAUUCUUAUAACAAGCAAACGCAAGUAAUAGUCGAAUAGCUUCUAACCUUGCUACUGGAGCGUAAGUCUCAUCAUAGUCUAUUCCUUCUUCUUGCGUAUAUCCUUUGGCCACGAGUCUUGCUUUGUUUCGUACGACUUUUCCUUUCUCAUUCAUCUUGUUUCUGAACACCCAUUUAGCUCUAAUAACAGUUUUACCUUUUGGUUUGGAUGUCAAUUCCCAGACAUCAUUAAUGCUGAACUGUCUGAGCUCUUCUUGCAUAGCUUCAAUCCAGCUUUCAUCAGACAAAGCUUCUUCUAUGCUUUUUGGUUCAAUUUCAGAAACAAGAGCUACAUCACUAGACUCUUCUCGCCUUUUGGAUCUGGUGCGAAUUCCUUCAUUAAUUUCGCCGAUUAUAAGAUCUUUGGGAUGACUGAACUUAUGCUUCCAGUUACUUGUUGAUUUGUCUGUUUGAUGAUCUCUCUCUUUGAUUGAAUCUUCACGAACAUCCUUAUUCUGGUUUUCCAGAGUCUGAGAUGCUUCUUGAGUUGUAAGCUUUGGAAGGUCUGGAGCAGGUUCAGACUCUUCUUGAUGAGUCUGACUUGAUUCAUCUUGUGUUGAGUCUUGAAAUUUGACAUUCAUUGACUCCUCCACAGACUGGCUCUUCUUGUUAUAGACUCUGAAGGCUUUGCUUGAUGUAGAAUAUCCAAGGAAGAUACCUUCAUAUGAUCUUUCUUCAAACUUACCAACUCGAUCUUUUGCAUUUUUCAAUAUAAAACAUUUGCAACCAAAUACAUGAAAGUAUGAAACAAUAGGCUUCUUAUCUUUGAACAAUUCAUAAGGGGUUUUCUCUAGAAUAGGUCUUAAGAAGACUCUAUUGACGAUAUAACAAGCUGUUGAAACAGCUUCAGCCCAAAAUCGUGAAGAAAUCUUGCUUUCUAUAAAAAGAGUUCUAGCCAUUUCUUGAAGAGAUCUGUUCUUUCUUUCCACAACUCCAUUUUGCUGAGGAGUAUAUGGAGAGGAGAACUCAUGAUUAAAGCCAGAUUCAUCACAAAAUUUUGUAAAAUCUUGAUUUUCAAAUUCACCUCCAUGAUCUGUUCUUAUACAAGAGAUAACACAUCCUUUUUCAUUUUGAACCUUUUUAGCAAACUUUUCAAAAUACGAGAAGGUUUCAUACUUACUUGUAAGGAAAUAUACCCAAGUAAAACGGGAGUAAUCAUCCACAAUUACUAGGCAAUAUUUCUUACCUCCAAUACUCUGUGUUCUGGUUGGUCCGAAGAGAUCCGUAUGUAGCAACUGUAGUACAUGAUUAGUACUGACAUGAUUUAUUGGCUUAAAUGAAUUUCUUACCUGUUUUCCCAGAAUACAUCGAGUACAUGGAUCAGUCUUUUGAUAAGGUAAUCUGGGUAGUUCUCGAACAAGCUGUUUUGUUGAGAUUUUGGCUAACUGCUUUGAGUUGACAUGACCAAGCUUUCUGUGCCAUAAGCUUGCUUCGUCUUGAAUUGAGAUAAAACAUUGCGAUUCAUUUGGUUUCACAUCCAGAAGAUAGAUGUUUCCAUGUCUACGACCCAUGAAAGACUGAGUAGAGUCUUUACUGAUUCCAGAACAUAUUCCUUCUUGAAAGAAGAUCUUGAAACCAAUAUCACACAGUUGACUAAUGCUGAGAAGAUUGUAAUUGAGUCAUUCCACUAAGGAAACAUUACUUAUUGUGAGAUUUCCAAUUUUCACAGUUCCAAAUCCCACAAUACUUCCUUUACUGUUUCCUCCAAAUGAAACUUUUCCACAAUUUACUUGAGCAAGCUUUAUGAAACAUUUUGAGUCUCCUGUCAUGUGUCUUGAGCAUCCAUUGUCAAGAUACCACUUUACCUUUCUCUUGACAGUGACCUCAAAAUCACUGUUUGAGUCUGAUUCAGAGUCUGAGUCUGAUUGUGCCAUCAGACAUAAAUUGGCAUAUUCAUUAUCACUUUAUUCACACUCUGUGUCACUCCAGGUUUCGGCUUUGAGAGCUUUUCGAAAUUUUUCAGCUUUUCUUUUCUUCUUCUUCAGAAGAGAACAGUUGGGUCUGAUGUGUCCCUUUUUCUUACAUUCAAAGCAGACUAUGUCUUUGUUUGGUUCCUCAUCAUCAACAGACUUGGUCUGUUGUCUUUGAAAGCUUUGUUUCUUUGAGUUGAACCUUCUUCCUUUUCUAUUUAGUUUUAUGAAUCUUCUUAUCAUGAGAGCAAGCUCCUCAUCGUCCAUAUCUUCUUCAGAAUCUGUAUUAUCAGAAUCAUCAUUUGAUUUUAAUGCAAUGGAUUUCUUACCUUUUGGAUCUUCAUCUUCAUUGAUCUGUUCCACUUCAUAAGACUGAAGAGUUCCAAUUAGCUCGUCGACAGAUAGUGGCAUAAUUCUCUGCGUCUCUCUUAUCGAAGUCUUUAUGUGAUUCCAAUCCCUGGAGAGUCCACGUAGUAGCUUGUUUACCUUCAUGGGAUCAGAAGUUGGUUGACCUUGAUUUUCAAGACCAUUUACAAUAUCUGUAAAACGACUAAACAUGUCAGAUAUAGAUUCUCCUGGUUUCAUUCUGAAGGCUUCGUAUUGACCAAGAAGAAUGUUGAUUCUUGCAACCUUCACUCGAUCUGUUCCUUCAUAGGUGAUAUGCAAUCUGUCCCAAACUUCUUUUGCUGUACCACAAGAAGAUAUUCUAUUAUAUUCAGUUGGUGAUAAAGCACAAUAUAAGGAGUAAAUUGCUUUUGCAUUGAGUGUUUGUCUCUUGAUUAUUUCUUCCUGAGACAUUCUGCUGGUUUCUUCAGUUUCUUUUCCUCUUUCAGAGACUGAUGCAGUGGUAGGAGUAAUUCCUUUUUCUACAAUGUCCCAUUCCAGAGGAUCCUUUGAUCGUAGGAAAGCUUUCAUCUUGUUCUUCCAGAUGUUGUAAUCCUUUCCAUUAAAGUAGGGUGGUCUUGUAUUGCUUUGCCCUUCCAUCAGCCCUGGUGCUAGCAUACUAGCCAUGGAUCUUUUACUAUGAAGUAAAACACUUCAAAUAAAGUAAGGACACAGGCUCUGAUACCAAUUGAUAUUGCUAGUAUGAGUACCUAGAGGGGGGUGAAUAGGUGUCUAAACAAUUUAUUGAUAUACGGAAGCGAUUCUUAGCAUAUGAUAGAAAGUAAAUUCUCUCUUAAUUAACAAAAUGAAAUACGAUCGAGGUAGAGAGAGUAAGGAAGAGAAAAUUGAACACAUGAUUUAUAGUGGUUCGGCUUAUUCCAAGCCUACGUCCACUCUUCCGCACUGACAGCCCACCGGCUGGAUUUCAUUAUGAUCAAAAGAGAAGUUACAGCAUAGCUUUGCCUUGAUUCCACAGUGUAGAUGUUCUACCACACCUCCUCAAGGUCUCUCACAAAUAUAGACUCUCUUUUCUAUACAAGUAUUCGCUCAAAGGAUUUAUCUAAACAAAUAGGAGCUUCAGACUUUGGAAUUCUUCUAUCGCGCACACCUUGAACAACUAAGACAGUCUUCCUUAUAUACUCCUUUAUGCCAUCAUACCCGUUGGCACUUACCAAAGGAAUUCCUCCAAUCUACCCGUUGGACGGAAUCAAUUAGGAAGAUUGUUCAAGCUAUUAAAGGAACGUGUUGAUAGCCCAUCAAUCAUGUUCGCCCAUACAAUCAGGAUCUCGGUUUCCAUAAGCAGAACCUUCCAAUAAUACUUAGGCAAUCACCGGAUCUUCAAUUAUCGAAUCAAUCUUCGAUCAAUCAAAGUACUCCGUUAUGUCUUCUCCAGCCACGAGAUCUUCUCCAGUUGAUAAAGUCAAAUCCUCAACGAAACAUUCGGUUCUGGAUAACCUUUCUUCAACGGAUUAGAGACUAUCAAUGAGGAUAGACUUUGAGUCUUGAGUCUGGCUGUCCGGAGGUCUUCAGACUUUAAAUAGCAGAGUCUGCAAGCCUUCAGACUAGACUGAUAGAAACGUUUUGUCAACUUUAAAGUACUUCAAGAAGAUUUCUCCAACACAUGUCUCUUUUGGUCUUUGGGUGAAGAUGUUUGUUGUGUGUGGAGGAGAGGUGGAAUUUAAAAAGAUUGAGAAGUGAUGGGACGAUCCUUGUUCGAUUGGAGACUUAGCGGCCUUGUCCUGUGGAAAAGCCCAAGUCAAUCAACUUAACAAAUGGAUGCUAGUCAAGAAAUUAAAGGGGUGGACCCAACCUGAGGUUCCAUUGUUAGAGGCUAUGUUGUCUGUGCUUCCAUGUCGUGUCUGACACGUGUCAGAGCAUGUCGGACACAUCGACAUGCUCGGACACGUAGUCAAUGCGUGUUGGUUUUUUCGAUACGUGGUCAAUCUUUGCCUGACACGUUUCGACACGUGUGUCUGGGAGGGUGGAAGAGAUGGCAAGGGAGCAGACCGUGAGCGACGGCGAGAGACAGCCGAGAAUAGACUGAGGCGAGGGUCGCCAUUGUGAUGCUGCGAUGGAUCCGACGAGGCUGCAGCUGCGAGGGAGAAAGGAUCGAAGGCGAGAGGAAGAGGAGAGGAAGGGGGUCGUGCGGCGAGUGGCGAGGAAGGGGGUCGUGCGACGAGGAGCGGCGAGCGGCGGAAAGGGGUCAUGUAGCGAGCGGCGAGGAAGGAGAAGGAUCGAGAGGAGGAGAAGAGGAAGGGUCGUGCGCGAGCGGCAAGGAGGAGGAGUAAAGGAGCUAGGGUUUCUGAAGAAACUCAGAAAUAAUUAAAAAUUGAGAGUCUGAUGGGCCAUCACGUAUUUUGGGGGAGGGAAAGUGACAAGGACAGGUGGGGGGAGGAAAUGAACGAUGGCGGGGAGGGAAAGGAAAAAAAAAUGAAUUUGGGGGCGGGGGGAAUGGACCGUGGUGGGGAGGGAAAGAAAAAUAAAUUUGAGGAUGGGAGGAAAUGGAUGAGGGAAAGAAGAGAGUGGGGUGGAUCCUAACGAGGAAAUUUUUUUUUAAUUAGAAAAAAUAAAUGAAAUUAAAAAAUAAUUUCAAAAAAUAAAUAUAUUGAAUUUGAAUUAAAUUAAUUAAAAAUGAAAAUAUUCAUUUAAUAUACAACGUGUCCCAACGUGUCGAAAAUUUCUAUUUUUAAGAAAUAACGUGUCAUGUCGUAUCGUGUCGGGUGUCGUGUCGCCAUGUCUGUGCUAUAUAGGUUAGAGGAACGGUUGGUGGCCAUCGCUAUUUAAGACCCCUCUUAAUCACGGACACAUACAAUACAAUGCAUCUAGAAAAUUUACACCCACAAAGAAUUCGCAGGAUCCUUCACAUUUUUUUUUUUUAUCUUUCUUUCUCCACUUUUAAUCGCCACCGUUCUUCCAAUGUCUCCUCGUGAUGGUUGGGUGCACACCACAUCCCAUCACCAAACUAAUAUAUAUAUCUUUCUCUCUCUCUUUCUCCCCCUCCCAAUCACUUGGCUUCUGAUGCACAAACAAAUUCAUAUCUCCUUAAUUUCUACUUCGUUUUUUUCCUCGUCCCUUCUUCCAUCUUCUUUCUUCACCCCCCGGGUCACGAUCAAAGGAAAAAUUGAUGUAUACUUUUAGAGGCAAAAGAUCAAAAAUAAAAAAAACUAGCUUGCCUCAAAACUACUACUUCUCCUUCUUAUUUGAACCUUUUCUGUUUGGUCGGCACUUCAUCACUUUAUAUGUACCCCAUACUUGCUAAAUAAAGUCAUCAACUUCAAACAUAAUUCAAUUAUUUACAUGGUCCAAUCAUUUCAUGAAAUAUAUAUGAAUAUAUAUACAAGAGAUGUAUCCCAUGUGAUAUAAUGCACGAGAAUUUGAAGCAACAGUGGAUCCUCCUAGUGACUUUCUAAAUCACACUGUCUUUAUAUUUUCUUUAUUAAAAGUUUUGUCACUAAUGAUGACGGGACGGAUACGAGGAAUAACUUUCUCAACUAGAAUUAGUAGGGACAAAUACCUUAGAUAUUAUUGAAGACAAAAGUAACCCCGAUAGCUUUUCAUGUGGAUUGAAGAUUAGCGUGCAAUAUUGGUGUGAUCUCUUCACACCAGGACAUCUCUCUUUUGAUUUGCCCUUCUAAUUAACUCUAACUAAUUCGUUAAAAAAUAAAUAUAGAUAUGCAAGAAAACUUUGAUUUGGCUAUGAAAAUAGACUAGCGGUGUGAGGUUGAUUAAGUUGCUAACUAAGGAGAAUCGUCGUCGUGUUUUGCGCAAAAGGGAGAGUUCAAAAGUGAGAAAACAUGAAGAAUCUAUAGACUUGCUUUUUGGAAGCAAUAAGGAGACAUGCUUUCGGGUGGCCUCUUUACUUUAUUGAAUUUUGCGCAAAAGAGAGUUUAAAGGUAAGAAAACUUGAAGAAGACGGAAGCCCGUGAGAAACUUCUCGCGUGUAGAUUGAAUAAGUUGCAAGACAUUUGUCGUGUCUUACACGGCCAUUGACUUUGAACUAAGAAAAAGGUGUAACAUUGAAACUUCUCGCGUUCAGAUUGAAUAAGUUGCAAGACAUUUGUUGUGUCUUACACGGCCAUUGACUUUGAACUAAGAAAAGGGCGUGACAUUGAAACUUCUCGCGUUCAGAUUGAAUAAGUUGCAAGACAUUUGUCGUGCCUUACACAGCCGUUGAUUUUAAACUAAGAAAAGGAUAUAACAAUGAUAGAAUCGCACCAGCGCGUAAUUUCCGUGACACUUGUUAAAAAUGCUGAAAAUAGCAACUGUCAUUUUGUAAAAGAUACAUGUAAAUCGAACAGAAAAAAAGGAUUUAUAUAUAUUCCUACCAGCACAAAAAUAUUGCCUUAAUCAAAUGGCUAUUUUGUCAUUCCCAAAAGAUAUUUAAAAAUCUAAUGACUAUGUUCCGAGAAUCUUUUUAAUAUCUACCACUUGAAACUGUAAUGAUAAACUAACUAUUCGCCUAAAAGAUAGUUAAAGCGAGGUCAUACUACCCUUUGUGAGUCUUGAGCAUCUCUUUGAUGCUUUGAGGCAUGGUGCUCCAGAGUGGCAAAUCCGUUGCAAAUGUGAUUGUGCUUCUUAUUGGCUUUACAGUGAUUUACCAACAAUAGACAGAUGUUCAUCACGACUUGAUGGGUCUUUAUCACUGGGAGCAUAGUGCCCGUGACACAGUGGGCAACCCGCUGAAUCUCGUCCGUUCCAUCUGAAUACCCGGUAAAUAAUCAAUGCGGUUCGGUGGGCAACUCAAGUCAGCCGGAGUCAACCAUUUCAAUGGUUACAAUCAAGCGAGAUCUGCUUCACUAAGCCAUGUUGAACCCAACGAAUAUUCAGGUUCAGGAUCUUGAAAAGAAUGUCAGUCGAUUCAUAAUUGCACUCUUUAGGCUCUUAAAUCUUUAGCCUAUCGAUAGUGAUCGUGAUUUAAAUCUAUUCGAGCGUCAAAAACAUAUGAGAAAUCAUUGCAGAUAAGAAGGAGAAUUCUUUCCAUUCUCGGACAUUUAUUUCUACCCAAAAAACACAAAUCAGUGGAUUUAUAUAACAAGCAACGAAAUUGUUGCUCCAAUCAGGUUUUUCAACUUCAAGAACUUGCUUGCACUAGCAAAGGACAUGCAAUUCCGUGAAGCCCAUGACGACGCGAAUGAUUUUAGAAGUCCUCUGAUUCAACAAGACCACAACAAAUAGAGGAGACGACAUCACCUGUAGAUAAAUUGUUUUGUAGCCCCUGCAUCUUUCUCGUGUUCAGGGAUCUCACGUCCAUGACCACCACUGUAGACUUUGAGGAUGUUAUGCUAGUUCUCUUCGUAAUUGGACCGCGUGGCUACGCCAAUCGACGUGAAGAGGAUAUUGAGAAAUGACGAGGACGGAACUCAUCUCGUACGCAGUUCCGUCCACCUCGUCCCAGAUCCAUAAUUGCGCGGAACCAUCGGACGAAAACGAAACGAAACGAAUCAAGGUAAAAUGUAUGGGGAGAUGCGGAUCCCGUAAACUGAUACGUUUUCCUUGAAAUCCUUCCCAUCUAAUAAGGCCAUGUUACUAACUAAUAAGCAAUAAUCCGCGCGAGCUCGCCGUGAGAUUUGGGUUAAACAUCAAAUGUCACAUACAAGCCACUCAUAAGGUUAGUUCGUAACCAUUGUUUAUCGUUUCGCCGAGCAUAUCGUUUUAUCAUCUUUAGAUAAAUUCUUGGGUGGUUUUUGCAAAGCCAUGUUGUCCACAUGGCUCACUGACAAACUGAAAUUUUUUAUAGAUAUUAUUGAACAGGCAGGCUAAGAGAUGACGGUAAAAAUUACUAUCACCUUGUAAUUCACGAGGUAUUUUUCUACUAACAGUCAUGUUGGAUUUGUAAGGGAAAAAAAAAAGACCACACCGCAUUUCUGUCUCUUAAAACUUACAAGCUGAGCGGAAAGAUUCGAGUGUGUCAAAGUUGCAAGUUUUUAAGACUUAAAUGCACAAAAAUGAAAGAUUUAAAACUCAAGUUCAUUACACUGAUACAAAAUUUUUCAAAAAGAAAAACUUCACAUUGCAUAAAAUUGUUUGAAGGGCAAGGGUAAUGAUUCAUCAGAUAAAUGUUAUUCUCUUGUUUUCUACUUACAUUAUUCAGUAAACGACUUUUUUAAAAGAAUAUUACGUGUCCGGACUUCUUAAUGUAUCUGAUUAAUCUGAUUGGCCCAUCACACUUCCCAUAUUUCACGAAAAUUCGAGUUAUUACAACUAUCUUGCAGGUCAACCUAUCUCAGAAUCCCACAUUUCAUGGUAAAUGUAACGUGCAUCUUGCUUCAACGUUUUCUUACCACAAAUCUACAAUUGAAAAAAGAAAAAGAAAAGAAGGAUCUGAUCUUUAAUUGGUCAACAUGGGUCGGGAUUAAAUUGAUAAAAAAUUGUACUAUCGAUUUUUAGACAGAAUGAUCAAAUCGAAUCAACUGGUGAAUGAGUUCAACGUAGAGCUCACUUUACCUUGCGUAGAGACAGUCCAUGUAUGUCCAAGAUCUCUCAAUAUUUUAAGUAGAAUUAAGCAAAGAACGAAGAGAGACGGACAUCAUACCGACAUCAUUUUGCACAGAAGAAUGUUUGCAAUUGCCACUUGCUAAUGCAAGGGAAGACCCUCCUUUCUGGUCCAAUUAGGUGUGCUUAGGUGAAUAUNNNNNNNNNNNNNNNNNNNNNNNNNNNNNNNNNNNNNNNNNNNNNNNNNNNNNNNNNNNNNNNNNNNNNNNNNNNNNNNNNNNNNNNNNNNNNNNNNNNNNNNNNNNNNNNNNNNNNNNNNNNNNNNNNNNNNNNNNNNNNNNNNNNNNNNNNNNNNNNNNNNNNNNNNNNNNNNNNNNNNNNNNNNNNNNNNNNNNNNNNNNNNNNNNNNNNNNNNNNNNNNNNNNNNNNNNNNNNNNNNNNNNNNNNNNNNNNNNNNNNNNNNNNNNNNNNNNNNNNNNNNNNNNNNNNNNNNNNNNNNNNNNNNNNNNNNNNNNNNNNNNNNNNNNNNNNNNNNNNNNNNNNNNNNNNNNNNNNNNNNNNNNNNNNNNNNNNNNNNNNNNNNNNNNNNNNNNNNNNNNNNNNNNNNNNNNNNNNNNNNNNNNNNNNNNNNNNNNNNNNNNNNNNNNNNNNNNNNNNNNNNNNNNNNNNNNNNNNNNNNNNNNNNNNNNNNNNNNNNNNNNNNNNNNNNNNNNNNNNNNNNNNNNNNNNNNNNNNNNNNNNNNNNNNNNNNNNNNNNNNNNNNNNNNNNNNNNNNNNNNNNNNNNNNNNNNNNNNNNNNNNNNNNNNNNNNNNNNNNNNNNNNNNNNNNNNNNNNNNNNNNNNNNNNNNNNNNNNNNNNNNNNNNNNNNNNNNNNNNNNNNNNNNNNNNNNNNNNNNNNNNNNNNNNNNNNNNNNNNNNNNNNNNNNNNNNNNNNNNNNNNNNNNNNNNNNNNNNNNNNNNNNNNNNNNNNNNNNNNNNNNNNNNNNNNNNNNNNNNNNNNNNNNNNNNNNNNNNNNNNNNNNNNNNNNNNNNNNNNNNNNNNNNNNNNNNNNNNNNNNNNNNNNNNNNNNNNNNNNNNNNNNNNNNNNNNNNNNNNNNNNNNNNNNNNNNNNNNNNNNNNNNNNNNNNNNNNNNNNNNNNNNNNNNNNNNNNNNNNNNNNNNNNNNNNNNNNNNNNNNNNNNNNNNNNNNNNNNNNNNNNNNNNNNNNNNNNNNNNNNNNNNNNNNNNNNNNNNNNNNNNNNNNNNNNNNNNNNNNNNNNNNNNNNNNNNNNNNNNNNNNNNNNNNNNNNNNNNNNNNNNNNNNNNNNNNNNNNNNNNNNNNNNNNNNNNNNNNNNNNNNNNNNNNNNNNNNNNNNNNNNNNNNNNNNNNNNNNNNNNNNNNNNNNNNNNNNNNNNNNNNNNNNNNNNNNNNNNNNNNNNNNNNNNNNNNNNNNNNNNNNNNNNNNNNNNNNNNNNNNNNNNNNNNNNNNNNNNNNNNNNNNNNNNNNNNNNNNNNNNNNNNNNNNNNNNNNNNNNNNNNNNNNNNNNNNNNNNNNNNNNNNNNNNNNNNNNNNNNNNNNNNNNNNNNNNNNNNNNNNNNNNNNNNNNNNNNNNNNNNNNNNNNNNNNNNNNNNNNNNNNNNNNNNNNNNNNNNNNNNNNNNNNNNNNNNNNNNNNNNNNNNNNNNNNNNNNNNNNNNNNNNNNNNNNNNNNNNNNNNNNNNNNNNNNNNNNNNNNNNNNNNNNNNNNNNNNNNNNNNNNNNNNNNNNNNNNNNNNNNNNNNNNNNNNNNNNNNNNNNNNNNNNNNNNNNNNNNNNNNNNNNNNNNNNNNNNNNNNNNNNNNNNNNNNNNNNNNNNNNNNNNNNNNNNNNNNNNNNNNNNNNNNNNNNNNNNNNNNNNNNNNNNNNNNNNNNNNNNNNNNNNNNNNNNNNNNNNNNNNNNNNNNNNNNNNNNNNNNNNNNNNNNNNNNNNNNNNNNNNNNNNNNNNNNNNNNNNNNNNNNNNNNNNNNNNNNNNNNNNNNNNNNNNNNNNNNNNNNNNNNNNNNNNNNNNNNNNNNNNNNNNNNNNNNNNNNNNNNNNNNNNNNNNNNNNNNNNNNNNNNNNNNNNNNNNNNNNNNNNNNNNNNNNNNNNNNNNNNNNNNNNNNNNNNNNNNNNNNNNNNNNNNNNNNNNNNNNNNNNNNNNNNNNNNNNNNNNNNNNNNNNNNNNNNNNNNNNNNNNNNNNNNNNNNNNNNNNNNNNNNNNNNNNNNNNNNNNNNNNNNNNNNNNNNNNNNNNNNNNNNNNNNNNNNNNNNNNNNNNNNNNNNNNNNNNNNNNNNNNNNNNNNNNNNNNNNNNNNNNNNNNNNNNNNNNNNNNNNNNNNNNNNNNNNNNNNNNNNNNNNNNNNNNNNNNNNNNNNNNNNNNNNNNNNNNNNNNNNNNNNNNNNNNNNNNNNNNNNNNNNNNNNNNNNNNNNNNNNNNNNNNNNNNNNNNNNNNNNNNNNNNNNNNNNNNNNNNNNNNNNNNNNNNNNNNNNNNNNNNNNNNNNNNNNNNNNNNNNNNNNNNNNNNNNNNNNNNNNNNNNNNNNNNNNNNNNNNNNNNNNNNNNNNNNNNNNNNNNNNNNNNNNNNNNNNNNNNNNNNNNNNNNNNNNNNNNNNNNNNNNNNNNNNNNNNNNNNNNNNNNNNNNNNNNNNNNNNNNNNNNNNNNNNNNNNNNNNNNNNNNNNNNNNNNNNNNNNNNNNNNNNNNNNNNNNNNNNNNNNNNNNNNNNNNNNNNNNNNNNNNNNNNNNNNNNNNNNNNNNNNNNNNNNNNNNNNNNNNNNNNNNNNNNNNNNNNNNNNNNNNNNNNNNNNNNNNNNNNNNNNNNNNNNNNNNNNNNNNNNNNNNNNNNNNNNNNNNNNNNNNNNNNNNNNNNNNNNNNNNNNNNNNNNNNNNNNNNNNNNNNNNNNNNNNNNNNNNNNNNNNNNNNNNNNNNNNNNNNNNNNNNNNNNNNNNNNNNNNNNNNNNNNNNNNNNNNNNNNNNNNNNNNNNNNNNNNNNNNNNNNNNNNNNNNNNNNNNNNNNNNNNACCAGGAUCAGCACUAAUAUGUGCUGUUGCUCCGGUAUGCAGGAUACCACUCACUUCCUCUUGGAUCCUCUAGAUGAACUGCUGCCAAAGCAGUUGGAAUUUCUUCAGCCUGAUAAGAGUUAUCGAAACGAUACCAGCACCGAAGAGCAUCGUGUCCUGGUCUUUUACAAAUCUGACAUUCUAACCGGAUGCUUUCUGUUGGUUUCUCAUUUUGCACAUGUUUCUGUGGCAUCAAGACUUGAGUCGGAUAGGAUUUAGUGUCUUGAUACCUUUGUGAAUAACUGGCAUAUGGACGAAACCCCUGUCCAGGACUAGAAUAAUCAAUCCUCUGCUUGAAUUGUUGAUCAGUUCGUUCCUGAUUCAAAUUGUUUGGUCUGUAGUACUGAUUUCUUCCUGAGUAUCCAUAACUCCGGCCUGCAUUAUUCAUUGCACGGCUUCGACCAAAAAAGCGUCCUCCUCUGUUGCCACCUCUUUGACUUCCAAAACUUGAAGUCUGAAAACUGUAUUCUCUUUCAGAAUUUCCUUUCAGUUGUGUUUCAGAACUUCUUUGUCCCAAGUAAGCCAGAUUAGGGUUAAAUUGAUUCAUCGAAUAUGUCUUUAAUCUUGUUUCAAAUCGUUCAAGCUGUGCUAUCACUUCAUCAUAAUCUGGCUGGGGUUUCAAACAGUAGAUAGUAGUUCUGAAAUUCUCAUACUCAGGCCCUAAACCCUCAAGAACACCAAACAUUUUAGUUAUCUCAUCUAUAGGUUUUCCAAUCGCAUUCAGCUGAUCACAAAUGGACUUAUACUCCCUCAGAUAAACAGAAAGCGCUCUAUCUCGUUUCUGACAUGCCUGUAACUUUCCUCUUAGUUCAAACUCUCGAGCUACUGAUUUCUGAGUAAAACGAUUAAGAAGGGUCUGCCAUACCUCAUAAGAAGUUUCUAAACCAAUAAUCAAGCUCAGAAUAUUCUCAGAUACAGCUCCACUGAUCCAGGAUGAAACUAACUGAUCAGUCCUUGUCCAAUCUGUAUAAUCUGGAUUUAUGACUUCUGUUUCACAAUCUUCAGUUUCAGUGUUUAGGAUUCGAGGAGGUGAAGAUAUUUCACCAUUGAUGAAACCGAAGAGUUCUUGACUUCGAAGGAACCUGUGAAACUGUGCUUGCCACAAUAGGAAAUUAUCUUCAGCAAGUUUAAUCGUGACAAAAUUGGAGAUGUUAACAUGUAUUGGAAAUGGAUACUUCUGUGUCCUUCCUGCCAUUGCUGCACUUUCAGAGAUUUUUGAUGACAGAAAUCGAUUUUUGUGACUCAAAACAGGAUUACCUGUUGAUCGAGAUGAUGAUCUGUUCGUGAUACCAGCAAGGUUCAGAUCUUACCAGGGAACAGAAGAAUCAAACGCAAGAUUCUUGUGAGAACUUUCAGUAAGUCAGUACAUGAAGAUGAUCAACAGCUACUUUGAUCUGCUGCAAUCAUUGAAAUCCAAAUACCUUUGAUUUGAUUUCACGAACAAUUGUGUGUUUCGUGAAACAUCUUUUCAAUCCAGAUGAUCGAUAACUGCUCUGAUACCAUGUGAAGAAGAGCAAGAUUACAGAUGAAUGCUAUUGAAGAAGAUGAUUCCUUAUUCUCUUCUGUAUUAUGGUGUUUUCACCUCAAAAAUACAGAGCACCUUUUCAAUGGAGUAUUCUCCUCUCUAUUCUUUCAUGGACGGUUACAAUGAAUUCUCUAUAUUAAGAAGAAGUCGCUCUUUAUCUAUAUACAACAGAAGCUUAAUGAAAAAACCGAAUGCUAGCUGUCAACGUAAAGACUUUAAACAGAAAAGAACUUAUUUCACAAAGGCUAAGCUAACAGAAUUAACUGCCUCUCUUUUCCUUCUGGAAAUUGUUCACGUGAUGUCUUUUCUUCACCGACUUAUCUUCACCGUCUUAUGUAGAUACACAGCUGGCCUUAUUUGACAGCAUUACUGGUUACACAAUUGCGAAUUCUACUUCUUCCAAGCUUCUUCAAUGACAGCCAUAGACUUGUCUUCAGUACAGUCUAACUUCUCUGUUUGAAGCUUCCUCUCUGUUUCGAGCUUCAAAGAAUGAAUGUUCUUAACAUUGACAACUCGAUGGAUGUGUACGAAAGCAGUAAACUAAGCCGUAUAUUUGUAGAGUAUAUGUACAAAAAAAAUAUUAAACCUAUUAUAUUUGUGCCAAUUAAGUCUUAAACCAUUUUUUUAGAGUCAAUUCAAUCCUAAAUAUUUGUCUUUUGUGCCAAUUUAGUUUAUUCGGCUAAUUUUAACUGGCCGACACUGAUGUGGACAAUUUUUCCUUUUCCUUUUCUCUUUUUUUUUUCUCCUUCUUCCUUCUUCUUCUAGCUGAUCACUGCCUUUGGCCGGAGAUCAAUUGGAGGAAGGAGAAUGAAAAAGAAAAAGAAAAACCUUAAUAAAAAAUUCGAUAUAUAUGAUUAAAAAAUUAUUCAUGCCAGCAUUGACUGGCCAAAUUGGCCGGAUGAACUAAAUUGGCAUAGAUGUGAAAAGUUUAAGACUUAAUUGACAAAAAAAAAGUUAAGGAUUGAAUUAACACAAUUGCAAUAGAUUUAUGAUUUUUUUGGUAAUUUUCCCUAUCUUAAGUUUGAACCACUAAAGAAAAUAUGAUGCAAAUAGGUUUCCUAGUUCGAGUGCAUUUUUAGUUUAAAUGAUUUUAUAAUUUAAGUAGCUUUUCUGAAAAGGGUUUCCUAUUUGUGAUAUUAUUUAUGGAAAAGAUGGAUCUCUACUUGGUUAAUGCAUGCUAAAGUAAACAAGAAGAGGGUUAUUUUUUUUUGUGAGUUUUCUGGGUGAGUUCUCUGCAAGAGAUUAUGACAUAACAUGGUUUGUUUUAGUGGUCAAAAUAUUAAUUUGGGGUGAGCUUUUGAGACAGUGGACUUGGAUUUGCUAAUAGAAGCUUUUGGCAAAGAACAUGAAAAAGAAAAAAAGAAAAAACCCGUAUGAUACGUUUGAUUCACGAAAAGAAAUAAGAUAAGAAUGGAAUAGCCAACCAUGAGAAUAGAAAAUGUGGGAAUUAUUAAAAAAUAACUGCCAGUAGUUUGGUUUGUAGAAUGGCAUACAAUUUCAAGACCAUCCUAUCGUUUUCUUUUUAAAACCAUUAUACCAUAUAAAGUUAGUUAGGAAUAGUAAAAAAUUCUCAUAAUACUUUCGAUGAUAGUUAAUUAAAGCUUAAUUUGUUUUAUAGUCGUGGUUUUAAAAACCAUAAAUGAAAACAAUUUAUAAAUGAUUAUUAUAUUUUAAUGUAUAAUAGUAAAUGGCUAGUAUAGUAGUAAGAAAGCUAGUAUAAUCAUUAUCUUCACACCAAUAAUAAUUAUGUAAGGAUAUAACUGUGGACAAGAUAAAAGAUCUAAUCGUUAUUAUAAUUCAAUAAUUAUAUUAUCAGUAAUCUAAUUACAUUAUAGUUGUUAUUUAAUUAUUAUAAUUAGAGCACAUAUGAUUUUGGUACUACAUGAAUAUCUACACUUAAUUUGAUUACAAUUUAUUAUAUCAUAGUAUAUGUAUUUUCUAGCAAUUGCUGUACAAUCUAGUAAUACAUCAUCUAAUUAUUGUGAUAUCUGCGAUUUUUUAUUUAAUUGAAAUAUUGGAGUUAUUAUCUCAUAAUUAGAUAAUGAUAUCAAAAUCUCCACUUAGUUAUGAUAUAUAGAUAGGGGAUCAACAAUUAUGAUGUCAUAUUUCUAAAAAAAUGUGCAUUUGAAUUUUAAAAAUCAAUUUCAUUUAGAAUUUAAAAUCUUCCCGAUUGAACGGACCUCUUUAUCCAUGCCAGUCGGCAUAGUUGGUAGCAUUUAAUGUGAAAAAGUACCCAUCAAAUUAAAAAGAUAAACAUAAAAAUAACCAAACUUUGAAAGAUCUCAGGUACAUGAUUCCAUUCCAGACUAGAAAGUGGAGAAUUGACACGGUGGGUCUCUGUUUACCGCCUUAGCCCCACACUCGGAAUCGAACAUCUAAAAACUCAAACAAGAAAAAGAAAAAGAAAAUAAUACAUGAGAAAGUUUUUCCAAUUCUACCAUAAUUUUCCUUGUCGAUCAUUGAUUUAAUUGCUAAGAAAAUAUCACCACCCCAAAGUCCAUCAAAUAUAUAGACUUUAACUAUAUAAGUACCUUUGUCAAUGCCACAAUAGCCUCAAAACAGGAAAAGAAAAGGCAAGACACUGGCAAACUAUAACAAUUUUUGUGGAUGAAAAUUUUAGGUUUAAUCGAAAAGAAUCCAAACUCUAAAUGAAAUAGGACUUUUAAAUUUUAAAAUGUACACUUUCUAAAAACACGGCAUCCUAAAUGUUUUUUUUUUUUUUUUUGGUGCUGGAGGAACCGCUACUGGGCCGAUGGCCGUUCCCGUAAACUCCCAGGCGACGCUAGCAGGGAAACCACCACCCCGACGUCACGCUUAAGUCACCAUAUAGUAGCUAGACUGCCUCCCUGUUUCGCAGGGGAUUCGAACCUUGGCCUCUACCGGGGAGGUCCAAGGCCCUACCAUCUAUGCCACCUUGGUCGGUGGUACGGCAUCCUAAAUGUUGAUCCCCAUUUAUUUGCAUGUAAAAAGAGCGCCAAAUUUUGACAAAUUUUAAUCACUUGCGGGUAGGGGUAAUUAAUGAGUGGACGGCUUGCUCUGAGUCAAGCUUAGGCGGUCCUCUUACAUGAGAAAGUCCCACCCGCACGACUUCAGAUAGCCCAGUCCUACCAUUUAUAAAAUAUAUGUCAUGCGUGGCCUGGGCAUGUUCUUACUUCACUGAUAUCAUAUAAAAUUACAAUGGAUUAUUUAUUUUUCUUUUCUUUUUUCAUUAUAUUUGAUCCAGAAAGUGAUUUUGAGGAUAGAAUCAUGAUAGACGUGGACCAAAGGCUUACUCGAUGGAAAGCUGCUCAGAACUUGCGAUUGAAGUUACCAACAGAGGCACAAGUUAUUACCUUUCACGAAUUAAUCUCUCACAUUGCAUUGCAUCAAGGUCACCGAGUUUCUUCAAUUAAAGAGGUCUAUAACAGUGUCACGUUUUUAUUUGUUUUCACACGUGUACUUAUAGGCCUGCAAUUUGAUAGAGAGUGCAUUCAGCUGUACAUGGACAGCGACGAAACAGCCCGCAACCUAGAAAUUCAUGCAGGGAUCGACCGCCGGAUCACCACAUAUGGGUAUCGUCCUUCUGUUCUGAACAAUGAUUAAUGCCGAGAACUAGUCGAGUAUUCUUUAUACUUGAUUUAGAUAAUUUGGCAAGAAAUUUAACUUUGGCUGGUUCGUACAUCGAUUUCCCGGAUGCUCCUAUCAUUCACGAGAGUAACUAGUCGAACGCUUCAACAUCAAUUUCAAGUUGAGAAGCUGACUCGCGAUCACGCCCGUGAUUGAAAAAUGACGACGAGUAGGGCUGAAUCUAUCUGACUAGCUACCUCCACAUCUCGUGCCCCACAGUAAUCUUGUUCGUCCUUCGUUGGAAGCACAAGCGAUGACAGAGGGGCACACAUGCCGAUUUCGCAAGUUCCGAACCUCAUCGCAGGUGGACACCAGGCUGCAAACGUUAGGGGACCUUUUCGACCAUCGACUUUUAAUGGCUCGAAGCUUAAGCCACUUGGAUUCAAACCGUCUUUGCUUUCUCUGAAGGUGUUCAUGUUAUUUAACGCAGUUUAGCAAGAAAUUCUGCGUUCAUUCCCCUUACUUGGUCUGGAGUUUCUACCAGCGAAUCUCUUCCUGCGUCAUGGCGGUUUUGUUCUUUUGCCCAUCAGUGCAUUCAACUGGUAGUGAAUCAAAUAUGAUAAUAGCGAAUAAGAUGAUAUUAAUCUCAUUUAUCAAUCAAUACAUCUCCCAGUACAGACGGACACAGUUUGCCUGUCUAGAAAAAUGUAAGACUCCCUUUCAUGUCUCAACAUUGAGUGAAAACAAAAUUCGCAUUAUACUUAGCGGUUGAGCUUGUUACAUCAUAUUUAGGCUUUUAUAUUAUUUUAGGCUUUUGUAUGACGUGCAUGUUUGGGACCUGUUAAGUAGAGAGGAAGAUUGAACUACUGAAGAUGAUCACUUUCUAUCUUGUCCUUAAGAUCAAAACGACAUGUGGAAAUUCAAGUUUGUCAAUGUCAAUUGUUGGGAUGGUUCCACUAAUUAAUGAUGCUUAAACUUCUGUGCUAACAGUCUUAUAGUUUUCGAAACUAAAAUAGUCAGGUAUUAACUAAUAUGGCUUCAUGGGAACAGUGUGCAUGGACUUGCCGAGGUCAUAGUAUCCAUAAGAUAAAUGAAUUAUAAUUAAGGAUGAAGCCAAGUAACCACAGCGAUACACCCAAGUGACAUCAAGAAUGCUUUGGAACAGAACAGCAUCAAUAUCUAGUAUCUGAAAAACUGCAUGCUCCAGAAAAACCCAUAGGCAAAAGGCGUGACUGUUUUAGAUUUCACGAAUCAUAUUGCUAAAAGUUUGCAAGAUCCAUUUGAGGCCUUCCGCUGUUAUUUUGACUAUAGUACGACCAUAUCCAGGGCUUACAUAGAGAAUAAUGGAUCCUGGUUCAAGUAACAUAGGUGCAAGAGAGAAAAUUCUAAAACAGAGCUUUGAAGAGACAAUGAAUGAGACAAAUUAAGAAGCAUCUCACCAGUAGUCAUUGAAUGCGCAUGUUCUGUCCGUGCAAUGGUGGAACCAGUUUGCAUCCCUUAUGACUAUAGAACUUCCGGUUGCCAUGGAGAUAUACUUGAUUGCAGAAUGACAAUCUCUGCAAAUGCUAAGAUUCUUAAACGCCCAGAUAGGUUUCGGACUGGAGGUGCUUAUAAGGCCAAAAACAACAGUAAUUUUUUCACUGUGCUCAAAUAUUGUUCCUUUUGUCCCUCCUCCACAUCAUGAAGAACAAAUUCAGUAUCCAGAAGAUCACCGAGUUUCUUUAUUCGACUAGCCAAUUGGUCCUGUACAUCAUAGAUCUCCCGAGCCUCUUCUGUGACAUGUCACCCAUAUAUGACUUUUAUUUUUUCGCUUCAAUCCAGCUACAACCAUCUUCCCUUAGGCCAGUUGAUGCAUACACAUUUGAUAGCAAAACAAAAGCAGCAAGGUUGUCCGGCUCCCACUCAAAAAUCAUUGCUGCAGCUUGUUUUGCAAGUUCAACAUUGCCGUGAACUGGGCAAGCUCUGAGAAAUGUAUGCCAGACAAGUGUGUCAGCCCUGCAAAGGCAUUUAAAGUAUGAACUGAAGGGCUUCAACAAGGGAGCCUUAUCUGCCCAAUAAAUCCAUGCAUGCAUAGUAUUCGAUUCUGGGCAUGAAUCCAUGUUCUAUUGAUCUAAAGUGUUUCCAUCCAUCAGAUACCAAACCCACAUGGCUACAAGAGGAUAAGACAGCAACAUAGGCGAUCUCAUUUGGCCUCUCCCUGGCCUCAAGCAUUUUAUGGAAUGUGACCAGAGCUCUCGUUGCAAAUCCAUGUUUUGCAAAACCAGUGAUCAUUGAAGUCCAAGUUUUAACAUUUGUCUCUCGUAUCAUGGGAAACUCGAAAAGCAGCUUCUGUGUUUACUGUUUUCACACCUGGAAUACAUUGAGAUCAAACCAUUAAGAAUGCACUGAUUUGAGGCGAGCCCUGAUUUGCAUACCCUCACCAAUAGCGCCAAUACAGGCAGCUCCACUUAAAAGGCUGAAAAAAGUAAAAGCGUUUGUCCAAUUCCUCUCUCCUCAAUCUCAUGAAGAAGUUCAUAGGCUUCAUCAGACUCCAAACUUUGGCAUAGGCAUCCGCAUGGGUAUCAUGAGAAAUCAAAUUCUUUUCAAAUAGUGCAUCCAAAGCUUUCUGAGCAUCUUCCAUGUGGCCCGACUGGGAAUACAUGCUAAUAAGAGAAUUACCCAUGUAAGUAUCAAAUGCAAAGCACAAUUUUUAUAGCUACAGAGUAUACUCGUAUCCCCAUAUCUAUUAUCACAAAUAAUUCCACAUGCCUUGAGAACACUAGCAAAUGUGAAAUGGUGUGGCCUUGGUGGAUCUUUUAUUAUUUCCCAAAAGAGUUUGAUGGCCUCCUCAUUCUCUUCAGUUUGCACAUUUCCUCUGAUUAUUGGUGUCCAAGACAUCACGUUGUGAUCUUGCAUCCGAUUAAGCACCUUUCUCAAAUCAUGAAUCGAUCCACUAGCCACACACUUCACGUACAUGUCCACCAAGCUGCAUCGAACACAAACAUCUGAAGCCAGUCCAGACCAUAUGAUACAGGAAUGCAAUUGCACCCCAAGGGAUAUUAGCUCCAACCUUGAACGUGCCGACAAAACAACUGUAAGUGUAAAUCUAUCUGGCACAGCCCACUCGCCAGUAUAUCCAAAAACAAAUCAACAGCAUUGUUUGGACCACCCAAUUGAGUACAUCUUGUCAUCAUCGAAGUCCACGCAACCACACUUCUCUCGGGCAUUUUCUCAAACAACUUAUGAGCUGAAACCAAAUCAGCACUAUCCUUUGAAAACAUGUCAAUUGAUGCACACCUGACACACACAUCGGAAUCAAGAUAGCCGCUUUUGAUUAUAAACUCGAAGCUCUAUUACCAGUUGAUGCAUUCUUUGGACCCGAACAAGCCGAGGGAAAAACCCAUCUUCAAGCAAAUGAGCUAAAAUAUCGACUGCUUCAUACGCGAUGUGGUUAUUGGCAUAGCAAGAACUCAUGGAACUCCAAGAAACCAAAUCCCUAUUAUUACCCAUGUCCCAAAAAGUCCUCUCCGCCUCAGCCCAGUCAUUGAAUUUUGAGCAGAGACUGAUGAGCGAGUUGAGAAUCACCGAGUCGGGCUCAAGCUGAGACGGCGCGAGCGCGCGAUGGACGCGCUUCCCGAGCGCGAACCCUCGGGAAGGAAUGCAGGACUUGAGGAGGAGAGAGAAGGUGAGGAGGCCGCGACAUGAGGUCGGGGUGGAAGAUUGCUCCGCGGAGUUCGGAGACAUCGAGGUGGGCAUCGAGGUGGGCGACCAGGAGGCGGUCGAGGGGCGAGCGAAGGGGAGGAGAGAGAGAGGGACUCAUUGCAUUAUACAAGUCGAGCUUGGUCUGAAAUAUCAGGAAACAGAGAUGAAAACAGAUAGCCAAAGAGGCAAUUCUUCUGCAAAACACAGGAUGCUACAAACGCCGAAAUCACGAUUUACAUAGUCAAUUAUGCUUCGGAUGAAACUACGUUUAUUUGGCAUUCAUUCAAACAGGAAAGAAAAAGAAUCAUACAAUGGACGAUUCCGUAACUUCAUUGCUAUUCUGAAAUCGGUAUCCUUCAGAAAUUGUUGGAGCACUUGAUGUAGCUGAGAAUGAUUCAAGUUCUAUUUCAGCGUUAUCAUCAAACGGCUUCUCGGAUGGAUACAAAAGCGGUUUUGGAGGCAGUUGCAGUUUAUCGAUAUCUCUUUCAAGCAUGUUUAGGACUCUGCUCAUUGAUGGUCGAUCAUCAGGGAUUAAUUGUAUACACCAAAGGGCAACUAUUACCAUCUUCCUUGUUAUCUCAUUGUCCCCUUCCACUUCUUCCAUUUCAACCUCGCUUUCUUUGCUGAGUUGAUCAUAGACCCACAAAGGAAAAUAAGUUUGACUUGAAUGCUCAACAUUCUUUGCAUUUUUCCUCCUACUUGCCAUUUCCAUUAGCAACAUCCCAAAACUAUAAACAUCAGCUUUAUACGAGACACCACCAAUGUCCUUAUAGAAUAGCUCAGGAGCCAUAUAUCCUAAAGUUCCUCUUGCUGCAGUCAACGAUAGUAUGCUAUGGUCCAUGGGAUAAAGUCUUGCAAGCCCAAAGUUAGAAACUUUUGGAGUGAAAUUUUGAUCUAGAAGAAUAUUGUGAGGCUUGAUGUCAAAGUGCAAAAUUUGCAUGUCACAUCCUCAAUGUAAAUAUUCUAUCCCCCUAGCCACACCAAGAGAGAUCUCAUACAUUUUCUUAGAAUCAAGAGAAUCGUCACCAUCUUUUGAGAAAAUGUGCUUAUCCAAAGAUCCGUUCGACAUGAAAUCGUACACGAGAGCUUGCUUCGAGUUGUUAAAGCAAUAACCAACAAGUUCCACCGCAUUAACAUGGUGGAUCCUUCCAAUAGUAGCCACUUCACUUAUAAAAUCUUGACCAUUAGAUUUUGGUUUGCUCAAAAUCUUAACAGCAACUUCGUUGCCACUUCUAAGUACUCCUUUAAACACAGAGCCAUAUCCUCCUUCCCCCAAUUUGUGUUUGAAAUUUUUUGUGAUUUUCUUGAUGUCUGAGUAAGAGUAUCUUAUAGGUGAAAAGUUGUUAUGAGCUACUAGGAAUUCUUCGAUGUUUUCAUUCAUUGCUCGGUGCCUUCUCUUCCUCUUAUAGACUAAAAAUAUCAACACACAUGGAGCUCCCAGCAUGAAUUUUGCCACGAAGAAGUUUUCUGUGGAAAAAACUGCGGAAAAAUUUGUCCAUAGAUUAGCGUAGUGUAAUAUAGAAAGUCAUCCUUUGCUGCUUGAGAUUUUCAGAGUUUGGAGGAAUAAAGGACUAGUCAUACCUAACAAAUGGGGGAGAAGAGGAGGUGCAUAUCUCAUUACUAUCGCCGCCAUAGAAGUAUCUGUAGAAAGCAAGAAUAAUUUGUUCGAGAUGACUGAAAAUGAUUACAAAGUGUUAACAACCAAUCAAUGGAGACCUAAGCUUAUCAUUUUAGCGAUAAAAUAUAAAAUGAAUACUCGUUAAGCUAUGACCAAGUCAAAGAUAAAUUGAUACAAUCACUGCAAAGUGCAAUGACAGACUUUUAUUCAUUAAAAGUUGCAGGUGCAGAAGUCUAGAAUAAAGAAGAGUGACUGAGUUUCACUCUCCUAAAUAGCAUCUUUCUUUCCCUCGGGGAAUCCAUAUUAUCGUAGAAUAUCACUUUUAUCAUAGAAAAGAUGACUUCGCUUUUGUUCCCCUAGAUGUACCAAGUGAUUAAUUCUGAUUACCAAACAUCGUCUAACUUAUAUGCAAUUUAUUCUCCCACAUGAUAAUAACCGCCAUAUAAGUGACACCAGCUACUAUCAAAUCAAAUAUUUUUUUCCCAAAUCAAAUAUAAAGUAAUUAAAUCUAGAAAAGCUUCAUGAGUUGUAGAACAAUAAAAGAGCUCAAUCUACUCGGAAAUCUUAUUUAACUUUUUUAUUUCAGUGAUGUGGCAAUUUUUUUUUAUUGGAUAUUUAAAGAAAUUAGUGACACAAUGUGUGGAUCCCAAUAUGAUGGUAUCCAAUUGAAACUUACCAUGUUGCUGGAUAAUUAAAUUUUGAUAAGAUCUCUUCAUAGAGCUUGCAUUUAAGAAAAGGAGGAGGAAGUAAAGAAAAGCCGAAGGGAAAGUCGCUUACCGGAGUCAUAGACACUGCACCUCCCGCGGUAGUUGAAACCCAAGAUGCAAAAUGCAGCUAGUCCACCACCAUUCUGAUAGGAUAGAUUGAAUCCUUGCGCCAUCGCGUUGUGGAUGUCCUUGUAUGAUGAGCACACACGAUAAUGCUGAUCCCUCUCCGAACACGAGAAAUAGUAUGAUGCAAAUGUCACCGCGGUUAUAGUGCAAAAAUCCUUGAUGUCCGAUGCGUGAGCUUCAAGAGCAGCGUAUGAGUACCCCUUCGUCUGGGAAAAAUUUGGAGGCGUGCCGGCAGAGUAUGCUCCCUCGAUGCACGGUUUGGUAUCAAGAUACGAAUUAGAAGCAACGGGCAAUAAGCACUUCACAAAGACCACUUGCCUUGAAAGAUAAUUGUCGAAAACUCUUCGAAAUAUGGCACGCCUCAACGAGUGACAAGGGAGGGAUGAGCAAUUACCCUCUUGCAAGCCAUCAUCAACCACCGUUAUGUAACCACGGAAGCUAGAUUCGUCGUGAUAUGAAUCGUAAUAUAUCGACUUCACAUAAUAUCUACUAUCAGCUUGCAGAUAUAAAACCGUGUGGUUAUUUUCACAAACUAGCUCAAACUUCGAGUUGCCGCAGUAUUUUGGAUCGUUUUUCAAUCGAAAGGGAUAACUUAUAUUACGGAUCUCACCACAAGACGAAGCGAUGCAUAAAUGAUUUUUCUUCGCACCGCAACUUGUACCUAAUAGCAGAACUUGUAAUAUGAACAAAAGCACAUGGUACAUACAUAUGGAACCGAGAGAAUUGAUCAUCUCUCCACUGCUCGAUGCAAGAAUGGAGGUUUUAGCUUGGAGAUUUUGGUGGAGGCUCAAAAGGGCAGGGAUUAUUUAUGACCGAAAAGAUCUGUUGGGGGGUCAUCUGUCAUUGAAAUUCCAACUCAACAACUAACACGAAGUCAAGUCAAGGAAAGCAACUUGUGUGGACCAAUUGAAGGUUCCAUGAGUGGAAAUUAUGCAGGGAUCGCUGUGUGCGUUGUCAGGCACACAUAACACGGUAGUGAAUUAAUUUAUGGAUAGCUUUCACAUUGAUUAGGAUAGCUUACGUUGCGAAUCUGGCCACAAAAUAAAACGGCGCAUAAGUGAUUCUGCUUUGCACUGCAUGUUGAUCCUAACAGUAGUACAUGUAAUAUGAGCAAAAAGACACGGUACAUAAAUAUGAAGCUGAAAGCGUUAAUCAUCUCUCUACUUCUCGAUGCAAGAAUGGAAGUCUUAGCUGGGAAACUGAGGUGGAAGCUCGACGAAGGAAGGGAUAAUACACGAUCGAAAAGAUAAGCUAGGUGUCACCUGUCAUUCAAAUUUCCAAGUCAACAAGUACCAGAAGGUCAAGUCAAGAAAAGUGGCUUGUGGGGACGAAUCAAAGGUUCCAUCGGCUUUAAUUAUAGAUAUCUUUAUUGAUUUGGAAGAAAACUUCUACACGGUUUCUGUUUUUGACUACUUGGACCAUCAGCUUUAAUUAUAGAUAUCUUUAUUGCUUUGGAAGAAAACUUCUCCACGGUUUCUGAUUUUGACUACUUGGACGAGUUCAUUCUCUCCAAAAAUCAGCUUUACUAUCCUAAAAUUGAAAUAUUGUGCCUUAAAUCGAAUAAUAAUCCUUAUAAGUGAGGCAUUUGUGUUGUAAUAAGGCCAAUAUGUCAGAAGUGCUAUUUUGUGAAGACAAAAACGCAAAAAUAUAAUAAUGUUGAUGACAAUAAAUUUGGUUCACUUGAAUUUCACGUGAUAAUGUUGUUCAAGUCCUUACUUCUUUGCAUUAUAUGAAAUGGCAACAAAGAUCAAGCCAGUCAUUUCCAUGAGAACUAAUCUUUAUUCUAAGCAUAUUUCUUUGUUCUUGAUGCAAUCUCUGCUUGUUUUUGGAGUUCAAAAGUUACUUAUUGCACAUACAAACUAUUCAGUAUUAAUCAUGUCUAACCUUAUCUUUUACUCAUCAUUUUCCUCUAUCAACAAGCAUCUUAAUAAUUCAAUACACUAUUAUUGUAAGCUAGUCUUGACAAAAAUAGUGUUAGCAAUAGUAACCUAUAUUCCCCAUUCAAAUCCCCUAUCAAGAUGACCUCUACUUUUGAUGGCUAAUUUCAACUCGCCCUCUCUGAUUUCAUGAUUGUCUAAAUCAAUCCCUCUUUAUUUCUUUGCUUAGUCAACAUCGCCUGUGUAGAUAUCUUAUCUCGAUUCAACCCAAAAUCCAUCCGUACAAAAUCCGAUGCGCACAAUAUCAUAUGCUCAAUUGUAAUUAAACCCGCAAUUAAUUAAAACAAAAUGAUUAAGGAAGGGAGUUGCUCUUCUUCUUCAUAUGGGACGUGUGGUCCACAUCAACUGCCAUGGUUUGGCCAUAAAUGUAACCAUCGUUGUAGGAGUUCGUUUCAUUAGAAACCAAUUUCAUAUAAUAUUAAUCGACAUACUGAUAUAAGACAUAUUUGUUUGAAAGCUGGCUCGCAUUAAGUUUCUACAGCCUUUUAGAUCGCCUUUCAAUAAAAGAUGACAGCUUAUGUUUUGGACAUUGCCGCAAAAUAAAGUGGGGCACAAGUAAUUAUGCUUUGAAUUGAAGCUUGUCUAGUAGCAGAACAUUUCAUAGCAAGAGUACAUCACGGUACAUUAAAUGUGCUGUGGAGAGAAUUACCCAUGUUUAUAUUGUUUCAUUUGAUGCAAUGAAACUUCUAAUUGGUGAUGAGAUGGAGGCUCAGUAAAGGGAUGCAUGAUAUAAUUGAAAAGAGUUGGGAGUCGUCGGUUAUCGAAAUGUCCAAAUCAAUUGAUAAAACAAAGUCAAGUGAAGAAAAAGUAAAAUGCGUAGCCGGCUAAAGUUUUAUUAUAUCAGAGGGAAUUAUGUAAAAGUUGUUGUACUUGCAAUCAAGAUAACAUAACGUAGUGGCAGAUUAACAAAUGGAUUGCUUUUACAUAGAUUGGGAAAGAAACUUCUGCCGUUUCUAGAUUUGACGUACUGUGGCAAUUGUACCCAAAAUUGAAUAAAUGUACUUUUGAGUGAUGGCAUCUGAUGUUCUACUUUAUUUCAAGUCCAAUAUCUCAUCGUCUCGUCGUUAAAUUGUGAAAACGAAAAGGAGAAAACAAUAUUGAUGAUAAUAACCUUUUGUUCAUCAAUUUUGAAGUAAUGAUUUUGUUGAACCCAUUCCUUCUUUGCAACGAGAGAUCCGGCAAAGCUGGUAUGAAAGUCAACAUUUCAUCAUCACCAAGACAAGUCUCAAUCCAAAACUGGGCAUUUCUGUUUGUUCUUCAUAUCUUGCUCCAUAGUCGAUGCCCAUUCAUUUUUAAUUUUUUGAAGUGAAGUUAUUCAUCUUGUACAUCAACUAUUCAAAAGUCUUGUCUAACCUUGUCCUUUUUCACUUAUAAUUUCUCCGAGGGUAAGCGCAUUGACAACUCAAUAUAUCAGUCUUGCAUAUUGAACUUACAAUACCUACCAUUACUGAUUGUUAAAAUGUCCACCAUAUUCAAAUAAAUCACCUAUCGUGAUCGACACUAUUGGGCUCAUUCCACUCAGCCCCCUAUAAUCUCAUGAUUGUCUUAGUCAACCCCUAAAAAUUAAAUUUGUCUUACCCAACAUCCUAGCCUCGGGAUCGCACAAACGGAGGAAUACUCAUUCCAUUCAUUGUAAAGGACAAAAUAGUCGGCCUAUUAUGUUUUUCCUCUAUGACAUGUGCAAGUCAUUCAUGGGUUACGCUACUACCUAUCACCAGACAUGACAUCGAAGUUGUAGAUUGCUUGAGGAGGUGGCUAUUGAUGAGGUGGGUGAUCAGGCGGGGAUCAAAGGGUGGGGGUGAGAGAUUUUGGUUCAUCGAGUUCCGAGCAAUGAUUUUGUUUAGCCAAUUACUUCUUCGCACCAAGAGAUCCAGCAAACUAGGUAGAAAAGUUAAAAUAUAUCAUCCUCACCAAAACUAGUCUCAAUCCUAGAUUUGGCAUUUCUGCUUGCUCUUCAUAUCAUACUCGACCCCGCCGAUCUUCUUUGCAGUUUCCAAGUUAUUCAUCUAGUAUAUUAGCUAUUCGAAUAUCUUUUCUUUGUCCUUUACUCAUUAUUUUUCUCUAUUAAGGAGCAUCUCGAUAACUCAAUAUAUUGAUAUUAUAUACCUAUCUUAAUGCAUACCCCAUGUAAAUAGAUCACCUAUCGUGAUCAAAAUUACUGGGCUAAUUCCACUCAGCCAUCUAUGAUUCAUGGUUAUCCUAGUCAAACCCCAACAAUAUAUUUUGUCUCAGUCAACAUCCUUUUCUUUGGUUUUUAGUCUCCGUAUCAUAAAAAAAUCCCAGCACGGUCUUCUGAUCUUGCAUCCCAUCAAACACCUUUCUCGAAUCAUGAAGCGAUCCACUAGCUACCCACUUCACGUACAUGUCCACCAAGCUGCAUCCAACACAUAAAUGCGAAGCCAGUCCUGACCGUAUAACCCACGAAUUCAAUUGAACUCCAAGCCAUGGCGACUCCAAGUCUGAACAUGCCGACAUAACAGCUGUGUGUGUAAAGCUAUCUGGCACAGGCCCACUCACAAGCACAUCCAGAAACAAAUCAACAGCUUCCUUCGGACAACCCAACUGGAAAAAUAUUGUCACCAUCAAAGUCUAAUUAACCACAUUCCUCUCAAGCAUUUUCUCGAACAUCUUACGAGCUGAAACCAUUCCAGCACUACCCUUUGCAAACAUGUAAAUCAAUGCACACACAAAAUGGAACAUCGGAAUAAACGUAGCUGCUUUUAAUUAUAAGCCCGAAAACUGCAUCACCAAUUGACGCAUUCUCCGGAGCUGAACAAGCCCGAAUAACCCCGAAACAAUAAUCAUUAGGGAAAAAACCAUCUGGAAGCAUAUGAAUGAAAGUAUCGCCCGCUUCAAACUCCAUGUAAUUAUUGGGAUAGCAAGAGAUCAUGGAACUCUAAGAAACCAAACCCCUUUUAUUACCCAUGUCCCUAAAAGUCCUCUCCGCCUCAUCCCAGUCAUUGGAUUAUGAGUAGAGACUGAUAAGCGAGUUAAGGAUCACCGAGUCGGGCUCAAGCUGGGAGCGAGCGCGCGAUGGACGCUCCUCGAGUGGGAACUCACAGGAGCGAAUGCAGGACCUGAGGAGGAAAGGGAAAGUGAGGAGGUCGGGAUGGGACCCAUCACGGGACAUGAGGUCGAGGUGGGAGAUUGCUUCGCGGAGCCGGCUGACAUCGAAGUGGGUCGAGGGGCGAGGGUGAGGGGUUUUGGUGGGAAGGGGAGAGCUUGAUAUUGGACAGUGGAGAACGGGAGAGGAGAGAGAGAGACUCAUUGCUGCAUACAAUUCGAGCUUGGUCUGUCAUAUCAGGAGCACUCGGGAAACAAGAAAUGAAAACAGAUUGCCAAAGAGGCAAUUCUACCGCAAAGCACAAGAUGCUACAGACGCUAAAAUCAUAUACGUUCACGAAUUACAUGGUCAAUUAUGCUUUUGAUUGAACUACAUUUAUUUUGCGUUCAUUCAAACAAGGACAUCAAAAAAAAAAAAAAAAUUCCAUACAAUACACGAUUAUGUAAUCUCAUUGCUAUUCUAGAAUUGGUAUGCUUUAGAAAUUGGAGUACUUGAUGUAGUUGAGAAAUGAUUCAAGUUCCGUUUCAAUGCUGACAUCAUCAAACGGCUUCUCGGACGGAUCAUAAAAGGUUUUGGAGGCAAUUGUAGUUAAUAUCUCCUUCAAUCAUGUUUAGUACCUUGUUCAUUGAUGGCCGAUCAUUAGGGAUUAAUUGUAUACACAAAAGGGAAAUUAUCACCAUCUUCUUCAUCUCCCCAUCCCCUUCUACUUAUUCCGUUUCAACCUCGUUGUCUUUGCUAAGUUGAUCAUAAAUCCACAAUGGGAAAUAAAUUUGACUUGAAUGCUCAACAUUUUCCUUUACAUUUUUCCUCCUACUUGCCAUUUCCAUUAGCAACAUUCCAAAAUCAUAAACAUAAACUUUAUACGAGACACAACCAAUGUUCUUGUAGAAUAGCUCGGGAGCCAUAUAUCCCAAAGUUCCUUUUGCAGCAGUCAAGGAUACUAUGCUAUGGUCUGUAGGAUAGAGUCUUGCAAGCCCAAAGUCAAAAAAUUUCGGAGUAAAAUUUUGAAAUAGAAGAAUAUUGUGAGGCUUGAUGUCAAAGUGCAAAACCUGCAUAUUGCAUCCUCGAUGUAAAUAUUCUAUCCUCCUAUCCACAUUAAGAGAGACGUCAUAUAUUUUCUUAUAAUCAACAGAGUCAUUGCCAUCUUGAGAGAAAAUGUGCUUAUCCAUCGAGUUGUUCAACAUGAAAUCGUACAUGAGAGCUAGCUUAGAGUUGUUAAAACAAAAACCAACAAGUUGCACCACAUUAACAUGGCAAAUCCUUCCAAUAGUAGCCACUUUGCGUAUAAAAUCUUGGCCAUUAGAUUCUUAUUUGUUCAAAAUUUUAACAGCAACUUCAUUGCCACUUCUAAGUACUCCUUUGUGCACGGAGCCAUAUCGUCCUUCACCUAAUUUGUGUUUGAAAUUUCUUGUAAUUUUCCUAAUUUCCGAGUAAAAGUAUGUUAUAGGCAAAAAGUUAUUAUGAGCUCCAAAGAAUUUUUCGAUGUUUUCGUUCGCUUCUAGGUGCCUUCUCUUCAACUUAUAGAAUAAAAAUAUCAGGACACAUGGAGCUUCGAGCACGAAUUUUGCUGCGAUGAAGGCUGUGCAUAAAUUGUUCAUUGAUUAGCUUAGAGUAAUGAUUUUUUUUUUAGGCAUAUAAUUUUUUUUGUCAGAAUGCUACUUGAGAUCUUUAUAGUUGUAAGGAGAAAGGACUAGUCAUAACCAAGAAAAAGGGGAGACUCCGAAGUGCAACGUAAAUCGUGGCCCGCCCUUGUAACCCUACAAAUUGGUUCAUGUACCGCCUUCCUCUUAACAAGAUUUUCCAUUGUAGGCAUAGCAUUUUGACAUACCCCCAUAAAGAAAAACUUGAUUUUUGGAAUAUUCUUAGCUUGCCACACGUAUUUCCAUAGUCCAGCUUUGGGUUGAUAUGAUGAGGAUGCUAUGGCUAUUUUAACUUGCUCCAUUGAGGCUCUAUUACUGUGAUAACCACUUUUUAACCGUGUAAUUCCUAGACUUAGUGUUAGUCCAUGCAAGUCCAUCUGCUGUGUUUGGGAGGCCAAUAGGAGUAGAGAAUAUUGCUCUUGCUAUCUGGUCAUCAGACAUGGAAUUUAUGAGUGGCUCAUUCCAUUUUCCAUCUCUAGUCAUUAUUAGGCUAGCCACUUUAAGCGGUUCUCCCCUAGUUGCGGGGCCUCCUAUGGGGCUUUUUCUUAACCAUUUAUCUUCCCUAAUCUUGAUUUGUUCACUAUUGCUGUUGCUGAUUGUCCACAUCAUAAGAAGAGAAAUGGCUUAUCUUCCCGUGAUAAGGCUUUACCAACCCCACGAAAGCCAUGCCCUUCUCCCUGCCUUCUAGAAAUUCAUACUUUGACUCCAAAAUGUCUCACAGUGUUGCCAAAGCCUCCAUACUUGUUUCCCUAACAUGGCUUUAUUGAAAUCCAAUAGGUCUCUAAACCCAAGUUUUCCUUCAUCCUUUAUGAGCUUUAAAGAGUCCCAAUUGAUCCAACAUAGACCAAUAGCCUUAUUGCUAUUUCUCCACCAAAAUGUAGCUAUUUUCCUCUCAAUUGCCCUACAAAUAAAAAUUGAAAUUCUAAAAAUAUACAUUGCAUAUUGGGGUAAUGCCUAAACCACUGCCUGAAUUAAUACAUCCUUCCUCACUUUUGACAUUAAGUUUUCCUUCUAGCUUUCUAGUUUCAUAUUCACUCUCCCAAGGAUCAACGUGAACAUCUCCUUUUUGAGGCCCCCAAUCAGAAUGUAUUCCCAAGUAAUUCUAGUCUUUUCUAUAUCUGGCACUCUCAUUUCCAAAGUCAUGUUUGUUCUCAGACUUUGUGGGUAGCCCUUACUAAAAUCCAUCCUUGACUUAUUUAAAUUAAUGAUCUGACUAUAUGCAAAGCAAUAUUGAUGUAAGACAACAGCUACAUUUUGACAUUCUUGGAUUGUACCAUCCAAAAAAAAAAUGUGGAGUCAUCAACAAAAAGAACAUGGGAUAAUGUAGGGCAAUUGCCAUUCAACUUAAUACCUGUACUUAUGUCUAUUGCUUGUUUCAUCAAAUGAGAUAAAACAUUAGCGAUGAUAAUAAAAAGAUUGGGGAAUAAAGGGUCACUUUGUCGGAUGUCACGUGUCAAUUUAAAAUAUGAGAGACGUUCUCCAUUAAACUUCAUGCUAAAAGACACCGAUGUGAUGCACUGCAUCACCCAAUUUAUCAACUUUCCACAUAAACCCAUUCUUAUCGUACACUCGUACACUCUUCAAGGAUAUUGCACUUUGAAAUCAUAUGCUUUUUGUGUGUCUAGUUUAAGAACCGCUUGAAAUUUCCUCUUCCUUUGUCUAAAUCUUAGCUGAUGAAGAACCUCUUGAACGUUUAGGAUGUUAUCCUGAAUUUAUCUCCCAUUGAUGAAUGCCCUCUACUCUAUCGCAAUUAAAUAUGGUAGGCAUUGUUUCAAAUGGUUAGCCAUGACUUUCAAAAUGACUUUUAUAGAUGAAGUUGUAUAACAUAACGGGGUGGUACCGUUCAAGCAAGUGCGGAUUGGGGAUUUUUAGAAUGAAAGUUAUUAUACUUGGAUUCAUACCAGGGUUCAAGUAACCUGGAUCAAAGAAACAUUGUAUCUCCCUAUGAAUAUCUAUUUGGAUAUCUUGUUAGCGAUGCUUAUAAAAUAAACCAUUUAAACCAUCUAGUCUAGGGGCCUUGGUUGCUCCUAGUUGAUGAAAUGCAGUGGAAACCUCCUCCGUAAUGAUGUGUUCAAUCAAUGUUUGACUUAUAUUUUCUCCCACCAUACAUGGGUAAUUGGUAAAUAAGGGUUGAAAGUUUUUUGGCCCGACCAUUUGGUAAAGUUUGGAGAAAUAAUCUAUUGUCAUCCUCUUUAUCUACUAUUCAUUUUUCAUCCAAUCCCCAUUAGAACUUUGUUGACACCUAAAAUUUUGUUGAUCGUACAGGGCAUUCGUCUAUUUUGCAAAAAAAUAAUAUAUGUAUAUAUAUAUGGAGGUAAAAAUAAAUAAAUUAUAUAGUAAUAAAAAAUUAACAAUAAAUAAAUAAAUAAAUAAAAAUGACAAAAAUAUAUUAUAAAAAUCGAGCGGACCAGUUUUAUCUAGCCCAUCUUUUGGCAAAAAUUUCGACCUAUCAGCCCACUCUUCUCCUAGCCCACUAAGCCCACACGUUUAUGAUUUAGCCCAUGCUUGCUAUGUCUUCUUGGGCCCACUAAGGUUGCGCAUGGCAACAUUUCUUGGCCGGGGAACAAUUUUUUUUUCAGAAAUAGUUCUUUUCUAUUUCUAUUAUGGGGAACAAUUUCUAUGUAAAAAAACCCGUUUGGUAAUAACAUAAAAUUUUUACUCUAGAAAUAGAAAAUGAAUAGAAAUGCGUUUGGUAAAAAAUAGUUUCUUUUUUAUAUUUAUUUGUUUUUUAUUUUUUGCCGGUAGAUCGCCGCCACCGCCGGACGUUGCCACCGCCGCACGUUGCCGCUGGCCGACCGCCGCCCACUGACUGCCGCCGCCGAUCGUUGUCACACGGCCCAUCGGCCGUCGGCCGCCGGAGUCGGCUAGCGGCGGUUGGCCAGCGGCGAUGUGCGGUGGCGACGGCGUCGCGUCCGGCGGCAACGGGCGGAGACCGGCAGCGGCAAUCGGUGCGCGGUGACGGUCGGUCGGCCGGUGGCGACCGGCGGCGGUCGGUCGGCCUCCGGCGACCGGCGGCGACGGUCGGUCGGCCUUCGGCGAUCGGCCGACGGCAGCAGUGGCGGCGGCGGGCGACGGCGGGCGGCAGUCAAGGGCAGUCAAUGGCAGUCAGCAAGAGAAGAAUAAAAAAAAAAAAAUUCACUUAUUUCUUAAACUUGUUCCCGGGAACAAGAAGCAACUUUUUUUUACUUCUAAUUUCUAUUCCAAAACCAUUCCUGGGCUAACUUUUUGUUCCCGUGAACAAAAAACUAACUUGCCGUUAUCAAACAGGUUUCUAUUCUUUUUUUGUUUUGGGGAAGAGAAGAAUAUAAAUUCUUGGGCUGGGGAAGUUUACCAUGCGCAGCCUAAGGUGAAAAGAAGAAGGAAGAGCCCAGUCCCCCAUGUUUUCUUCUUUGCACGCUCGCGCGUCUUAGCAGGAGAGCCCGUGGAGCAUCGGUGAGCAAAGCAGGUCCUCUGUUCUGUCCUCGGCGCUCCUCCUCUCCGCACCUCGCGCCGGAGAAGAUUAUUGACACCAUUGACGACGUAGCCGAGGAGAUCUCGUUCCAGAACUUGGACGAUGACUUCAAGUUGCUCCAGCAACCUCCCCACCGACGUCCUCCAGAGAGUAGUCGAGGGUAAGUUCAUGGUGGAGAUCAAGAGCAAUCGGUCCGUCGAGUGACGAUACUCUCCAGAAAUAUCUACGAAGCCUUUCAAUGGCUAGUUCGAUAGCAGUUUUCAAUCGGUAAUCGUCUCGGUCGGGUUGUUUUACCCAACGCUGGUGUCGGCUUAGUUCGGUUCUGUCCGUCGAGCUGAGAAGACCCGAAGCGCAUCAGUCUCACUUGGAGGUUCUUCGCCGGUGUCAAUCCUUACGGUUGGCACAAGUUUUUCUAUUCAUUUUAACCAGCAAGUGCUGCUUCAAUCGGCUUCAGAGACAAGGUACAAGAAUUUGAGGUGUGGAGUUUCCCCAAUGCUUGAGUGGCUUUCAUUGGCGUGACGACUCCAUCAUCGACAGACCGAGGAUCCUUAGUCCUCAUUUUGGAGCAAGGUACGGUUUCAUUUCUCUAUGGCGAUUUUGAAUCCUCCUGUGCUUAAAGAAAAUGCUCACCGGCUAAGUGUUGUUUGACGAUCCGAAUAUAUAUUUUUUUUUCAACUGUUUGUGAUAACUUGAAAUGGAUCUUUUCAUUUGAGAUCUGCAUGGUGGCAUCCUGGAGGAAAAAUGCUCACCAUCCGUUUGAUAAAAUACCUGAAUCAUGACUGUAAUGUCUUUGUUAAAUGGCUAGAUCAGGAGCUACAUUGCAUCAACUCAGAUUGAAGUCGGCUUGAUGAGAAUGCGUGAUCAUUUGUUGCUAAAUUGCCGUCUUGACUCAUUUCAUCAACAUGACAGUCAAGUUUUCUAGAUUAUUCGUGUUUACAGCCCGAGUCAAAUCCUUAGUAUGAACAAAGUUGAAUAUUCGAUAUUGUCACGUAUUGGCUUUGCUCUUCUUGCUUGUCGUGUUUCCUUCUUCCCGUAUGCACUGGUGGUGUUCAAUGGUGGUCUCCGGCAACGCUAUUUUGGUGGAUGUUGGUGGCGCUUGCUGAUGAGAAAUGGCUGGACAUAGAAGAUAGAUGCAAUUUGUUAUCCGAUUCUCCAAAGCAUUUCUUGAGGGGCUACGCUUGGCCAUUCCUUGAAGUCUGGAGGUGGUUGGUUAGCUCAUUUGAGCUCGACGAACGAGAAAACCAAGGUAAUAGCCUUUGAUCUGAUGAAGCGAAGCCACUUGUGGUGAUUUUAGGAUUACCCACAAGUGGCUAGGGCUAGGAUCAUCAUUUUGAAUGCUCAAUGAUAGUUCUAGAUGGAUAUGUGUGGAUAUGAUGUUAAUCAGUGGCUGUUAAGGCAUGAUUGUUAAGGUAUGAUUAGUGGAUGUUGAUAAUGUAAAUGUGAUUUCUGGACUGAUUGCAUGAUGUUGACGAUAUGAUGAUGUACAUGACUGAUUUUCAUGACUUGAUCAACUAGAAAAUGCUAGUAAUCUUCAUUAUCUUCAUUUUGAUAUAUCCUAUGUCAUCAUAUGAUGUCGUUUGCAUGCUAAAAUUGUGUUGUGAUCUUAGGUUUAGAAUCUGAAUUCUGAAUGUGUUAUGUUCUGUCUAACUUGGCUAUCUUGUUGAAUUUUUAUGAUUUUUUAAGAUGCGAUUUAGGUGUUGAUGUCUUCACAGAAUUUGUUCAUCACGUCUUGGUCUAGGUCAUAGAAAAUUUUCAUAAGAAUUUGAGAUAAUUUAGUCAGUACAAACACCAUUCAAAGAGACAUGCUAGUUUCUGGAAUCCUAAUUUCCAAUUUGACCUUCACGUACUCUUUGACUUUUACAAAAUUCUGUGUCUAGAAUCUAAUGAUACUUCCUAUAUGAAAAAUGUUCAUCACAUUCAUAUUUGUAUUGGCAAAGUUUUUCAGAAAAUAAAAAAGUUAGUACCGAAAGGGAUCAAGUCCCCGGGUUUGGAAUAUUUGAUUGCGUAAAUAAUAAAAUAUCCUCACGUAUCUUACUUGGUUUAUAGCCGACAGAAAAGACUAGUGGCGAUUUUUUAGUCAAAAUUUGUAUAGGCUUAAUUGAUUUAAAAUCUAAACGCCUGACAUCGCGCGAGGUAUGAGCUAGGAGAGCCCCAGUCAAUGAAAGGCCGUUGGGACGAAGUUGACAAAAUCCUUAAACCUAAUUUCCCAAUUCCCUAGUCAAAGGGGUUAGGUCGCGACAAACUUUUCAGUAUAGUUAUCCUAUUUCUGAUUCUUCUCUAAAUUGUUGUUGCAUGGAAAAAAAUCACCCCAUUUAAGCCAACUUAAGCCAACUAAUUUUGGACUGCAUGCUUUAGUCAAUCUCCUCUCAACUCCAUAAAGUUUCAAUUUCUUUAUUCAGCUUCUGCACUAUUUCUUUGUCAUGGCACACCGUGGGAUUGUUCAUAAGCUCUUGAAGUUCACUCCUCAACCUAGAAAUACAUUUAUAUGCAUUUGGAAAGCAGUCCUUACUCUAUGCGACUAGCCUCACAGGUACUAACCGUAACUUUUCUAGUAUAUUAUCUUGCUGACAUUUGCUAGACUUCCAUGCUCUUCUCACUAUAUUUGUACACUCUCCGUCCUGCAACCAAAAUGCUUCAAAUUUGAAUUCUUUCUUUUUAUGAUCAGCUUUCGAGAAAAAGGAUACAAGGAUUGGAUAAUGAUUUGAUCCAAUAGGUGGCAAGGCAAAGCUUUCAGCAAGUAGAAACGAGACUCACCAGUCCAUAGUACAUUAAGCUCUAUCAAUUCUCUCCUUAACCAAAGAGUCCCCUGCUCUAUUAUUGGACCACGUAUAGGCACACCCCUUACUCUUUUAACUCCAUUAGCAAAUAAUUAUUAAGGAAAUCCAGGAAAGCAGCAAACAAUUAUUAAGGAAAUCCGGAAAAGCAGCAAGCCUGUAAUGCUCAGCCAUCUUCUUGCCCACUUUUUUCCAAUGAAAAAAGCACCUCGUUGAAGUCAUCAAUGCACAACCACAAUUGAUUAGAAUAGUUGAGUCUAUGUAUUUAUUUCCAUAAUUGAACCUUUCUCUAAACUCAUUCGAUGCAUGAAGGAUGGUGACCUUCAUGGGCUUCCUGUUCUCCUUAAUUCUACAAUAAACAUUACUGAAAUGUGUCGAGUAAAAUUCAAAAGAUAAGGUUACUAGCCCAUCCCAAACUAUGGCCAAAUCCCCCUCCCCUCUCUCACAAAUUUGCCCUUUGUUAGUUUUUGUUAAAUUUUACUAUCAAAUUGUUGAGUUGGGUGACACGUGAUAGUUAACUGAUAUACUAUUUUGGGAUUUUACUCUCUGGUUGUCAUAGUUGUACCAUUUUUGUGAUUUUUUGUUAACGAAUGGCAUAUUUUUUACAAAUGUACCAGUUCGAGAUUCUUGACGGUUGAAUAGAUUAGUUUGGUGUAAAUUUAUCACAAAUGUACUGGUUUGGAGUUUUUUGUGGUCAUUUGAAGUAAAUUUAUCACAUAUGUAAUAGUUAUAGGUCAUUCAUGAUCAAAAAAUUAUUUUUGAAUAAAUUUAUCAUAAAUGUAUUAGUUUAUAAUUUUUCAAGAUAUUACCCCUUUAUAUUUUCAUUCUUCCUUCCAUUUUCAUUAGCAAUAAGCCAAAACUCUAGACGUCAACUUAAAAAGGGACCCACCAAUGCUCCUUAGAACGACUCAGACGUGGUACAACAAAAAGUUUCUCUUGCUGCAGUUAAGAACAUUGUCCUGAUCUCAGAGUUGAAGUUUUGCAAGUUGAAGUUGAAAGUCUGAUUUUUUGGGAGUAUAAUUCUCUAUCUAGAUACACUUUAUUUUAUGAUCUGUAAAUGAAGUAAUGUGUGGUAUGACUCAAUAAUAAGUUUCUUAUUUAAAAAUAUAUAUAUUAAUACUUUCACAUUUUGGGAUGGAGCGUCCAAGUUCUUUUAACUUGAAUCUUAGGCUAAAGAUGGAAUUUAGAUAGUCUCUGGAGGGACUGAAUUACUUGGCUUAAUCCGGCCGAAACCCAACCAAAUAAGACCUUCAUCACCAAACGAGCCCAAAGAGCCAAAGGCAAAGAAAUUGAUUAUGGAUUGAGAGGCCAAAGCCCAAACUCAAUCCAUCACAAAACUAAAUUUUUGUUCUAAAAUUGACAAAUCAUUGAAUACCCAACCAUUAGCGUACUAAACUAAAAUUUAGAUCGUCAAAUUUGAUGAUAAAUUCGCUGUUAUUAAUAUAUUUCAAAUGUAUUUUAACAUAAACUCCACACUCACACUUGUCUAUAUUCAUACAUCAAUAUCCAAGUCGUUAAAGUUCUUGCAAGGCUGAGCCACGUGCACACUUACAUGCAAUUUUUACCCAAUAAUUUGUAUUAUUUUAGCAAAUCUUUCAUCCGAUAAAUCUCUAAUUUAGCAUCCCUACUUCUUAUGCAUGUUUUGGUAAUAAAUUUGUAAAAUAGAAUUAUGCAUAUUUUGAUUGUCAAUAUAUACAAAAAAUUGUUUACGUAACACAUAUAUUGAUCAUCAUAUUCCACGUCAUACUAUCAAAUUAAUUUCGUCCAAUGUUUUCAAGUAGAUAAGUUUGAAAGCAAUAUUAGAACAAUUACCAGAUGCAUAAUUGACAUAGACCAGACUACUAAAGCAUAUCUAGAGCAUUUGGAUAGGCAGAACCAUAAAUCAAUUAGUAAACUUGAGGCAAGAAUGGUCGCACCUUGAUUUUCUCAUUCUUUUUGGUUGGAGAGAGUAUUUCCUUCCAUAGGAGAAAAACAAGUACAACAGCAACAUCAUUCGACAAAAGGGAUAAUGAGGAUGAGUAUUUCAUUCCAUCAUUCUUUUCUCUACUUAUAUAUCUUUCCUUCAAGCUACUUUUUUAGGGUAAAUAUAUCAUAGUAAACAUAAUUUAUGAUUUAUGGUACCUUAUACCCUUAGAAAAAUUCAUCAAUAAUUUACAUUUGGGGUUUAAAUGGUCCAAGUCCUUCUAACUUGAAUCUUAGGCUAAAGAUGAAAUUUAGAUAUUCUUCGGAGAGACUAGAUUACUCAGUUGAAUCCAGCCAAAAUCCACCCAAAUAAGACCUUCAUCACUGAAUGAGCCUAAAGUGACACAGGCAAAGAAUUUGAUUGUUAAUUGAGGGGCCAAACCUAAACUCAAUCCCUUACAAAACUAACAUUUGUUUUAUGAAAUUGAUGAAUCCUUGAAUACCCAAACAUUAGCUUACUAAACUAAAAUCUAGAUUGUUAGAUUUGAUGAGGUCCAAAUUAACUCACCAUUAUCAAUGUUUGAAAUGUAAUUUAAACAGACUCCUCACUCAAACUUAUAUAUUUAUAUCUAUAUCCAAGUCAUUAAAAUUCUUGCAAGGUUGCGCCACAUGAACGCUUACAUGCGAGCUGCACCCAAUAAUUUGUAUAUUUGCAGUUGUUUUAGCAAAUCUUUAAUCCUAGUAAAUCUCUAAUUUUUGCAUCUCUACUUCUUAUGCCUAUUUUGGCAAUAAAUUUCUAAAAUAGAACUAUGCAUAUUUUUAUGGUGUGUGUGUGUGUAUAAUUGUUUAUAUAUACAUAGAUUGAUCAACGUAUUCCACAUCAUACUUUCAAGUUAGUUUCGUCCCAUGUUUUCAAAUGGAUUGGUUUGAAAGCAAAAUUUGAAUAAUUACCGGACGCAUAAUUGACAUAGAUGGGACUUUUGAAGCAUAGUAAGAGUAUUCGGAUAGGCAGAACCAUAAAUUAAUUAGCAGGCCUAAGGCAAGAAUCAUCGCAUCAUGACUUUUUCCUUCUUUUUGGUUGGAGAGAGUAUUUCUUCCACAAGAGAAAAACAAGUACAAUAGCAACAUCAUUGACAAAAGACAUAAUGAGGGUAAAUAUUUCAUUCCAUCAUUCUUUCUCUACUUAUAUAUCUUCCCUUCAGCUUCUUUUUUAGUCUUAUGAAUACAUUCCAUGCAUACUUCGCCUUAUCGAGGAUCUUCUUAGGGUCUAGAUAAUGCUCCUCGAAAAAUAGAAGAACUUCUCCCCUUCUAGAUAUGCCAACUAAUGAAAAGCAAUUUUCAUCAACAGAACCCGCCUUUGAUCUUUAUUUGAGCUUCUUGUACGAGAAAUCAUUGUUGUAACCAUCUAUUAGCAAAAGUGAAUUGUUCUUUAUUAAUGUUCAAGCCUAAACCACCAAAAUAAGCAUAGUCACAGCACCAUAGCAUGUUCUCUUGCACUCAUUGUAGAAGGGGGCCUUGUCGUGACCUUACCUCAGGUGAAUCACUCAUGAUUUGACUAAUGGAUUAUUAAUUCUAGAGUCAACUUAGGCUCCCUGAAAUCCAUAUUAAUUCAUAACUUAUAGUUCAAGUUCUUAACAUGCAAAAUUAUUUUUAUAUAGGAGUCACUACUAAUUAAUUUAUGGUAGAUGAAUUAGAUAUCUAAGUAAAGCAACAUGAGAAUUACUUUACUUCUACGAAUUACAAAAUCUAAGGUCAGAGACUUAAUUAUACCAAUUAUCAAAGUAGUGCCAUUUCGGUGUCUAAUCUUAUAUAAUACCAUAUUUAGGCAGCCUUCUCGCGAAUUAUGAGUCUUAAGGUUUUAUUCCUAACCAGGCUAAAGGAGACAACAGUGUAUUAAAAUUCCACAAUCAAGUAAUAAUUGAAAUAGAAAUGCGCAAAAAACAACCUAGUACUUGUCUCUAAGAACAUUCAAAAAUCUAUUAUAAAGCCUUGAGGGCUUAUUCAAUUUUUGGAUGAAUUUUUUUUUUAUCAAGAAUUUUCACACAUUUUAAGAGAAAAUAAGUUAAUAACUACCUUUUAAGCUUUUUCCUAAUUUUUAGAAAAUAAAUAAAUAUUCUUUGCAAUUUUAAAUUUUUUUUAAAAUAUUUUAUAAAUAAUUAAUUUUUUAUAUCUGAAAAUAGGCACCCGGUCCGCGUAAGGACAGAACCUUGGCCUCGUCGAUGUAGGCCAUGUACAUACAUCGGGCUCUCAAGUCAAGUCCACUUAAUUGAACCCACUUCACAAAAUUGAAACCCUGCCCAAACAAGUUAGAUCCAAACCCAAUUAACUAAACCAGGCCCAAUUCGCCAAGCUACAGCUAAAGCCCGACACACCACCCUUGAAGUAAAGACGAAGCCCAAAUCACCAAAAUUACCACUUCAAGCCUAAAUGAGCCCAAAGCCCACUACUCUCCCCUCAUCAAAUUUUCCAAUCCCGCAACUGCUCCUCAACGUCGUCUCCUUCGAGCACGCCCGAAACGCCUGCGACCUCCCCUCAUCUUUCACGCUCGGUUCCCUGCUCCCGGAACUCCCCACCUCCAAUCUCUUUCUCGAUGGAGCUUUCACGUCUAUAGAUUAAUACCUAAAGCUUCACUGAACCGGAAACACUCAAAACCUUCCACCGGCAAUACUCUCACACCGCCGUCGCUAAUUCCCCGCCCAUCAGCUAUAACCAUUGCCAUGUUACCGGCCACCACCAGCCACUUACUUUCACAGCCAAUCAUGACCGGAGAAGAACGGAAAGAGCAUGGAUUUAGCUGAGACAUUUUAUCGAACACUCGGCGGGCGUCGACUGAGAGGCACCACGACAAGCAUUUGAGACAUGGGCCGGAGCCAAAUCCAUCCAUAAUCAACAAACAACGCCCAGCAUAAACAAUAUAAGCCACGAGAAACUCGGCGUGCGCCAAAAUCAGAGCCGGCGAGCCUGGGUCCGUAGAUUCAUUAAAAAUAACAAACACGCAUAAUAGAGGCGUGGGAGGGUACGACCGUGUGAUCCCUACCCGGCUCGGCAACGACGGCCGGAAGGCGAGCCCGAAGCUGAGCUCUGCGUCUCGCUUUCUCUCAGUCCCUUCCUCUGCUCACUCUCGGUUCUCGCUCUCUCCCCCGCCCCGCCCCCGGGUUCUUCCUCUCGGUCGCCUCUUUCGAAUGCUCACCCCACUCUCUUUUACAAGAAAUCUCCCCGGUGAGUCCCCCUCCCACCACCUCUCUACUCGGGACCAAGUUAGGUCCAUUUCCAGCUAAGCUGGCCUCUGCACUCGUGCCUAGCACGCCCCCUCCACCAGCCGUAGCUCUAUCUGUCGCUUGCUUUCUCUGCCUCCUACGCGCCUGCGUGAGGGAGAGAAGAAGAAAGAGACAGAAUCGUUGGAGGCCUGGGCUGAGAAGGAAGAAAAGAAAGGGCCGGGCGCAGGUGGAGAGGAAAGAAAGAAGAAGAGGCCGGACCGACCCUCUCUUGCCCUUUUCUAAAACAACAAGAAAGAUAUGUUUUAAUAAAUUCUAUUACUGUAAAUACAAAUGUUCCUGAUACCUAUAUACUAUGUAAUUUACUGAAAAUAAUUUUUGUUAGGGGCCAAGGGCAGUCCCUUAUUUUAUGAGAUAAAUAAAUAGUCAAAAUUUAUGUGUCAUAUGGUUAUAUACCUGUUAUGUUGAUACUUCUUUGAAAAAGAUUAUGCAUAAUAGGUUGAAUAUUAAUUAAUUAAUUUGAUGGGAGCUUGAGGUUUUUCAAAAUUCUAUUUCUCUUUCUCUGGUUUUCAAGAAGUGAUGAGCAAUUUUCAUGGUCACGUGCCCACUCUUAUCAGCUGGCCAUAUCAACUUAUCUUCUUCCAAGGCUUGAUGCAAAAGAAUGGAAGCAACCGCCCAUUCCUCCUCAUCAUAGGCCCUAGAUCCCCGUCUCUCUCCCUCCACAUCAAUUAAUUUCUCCACUCUUAACUAGUUCCAUAUCAACAGAAUGCAGACUUGACACUCGCUUUUCCUCACUUGCCACAAACCUCCAGCUUCAACUGCCCUUUACCAAAGCUAUCCCCCAGAAGCUCUCUACCCCUACUUGGCCUCCGUAAAUUUGCCACCGGGGAGGUAGAUAUCUCUCGGCAUUUGCGGACACGGAUCCUCUAUCUUCUACAUCGCUCUCCAUGACAAUUUGGAUAGUAGGGUUCUCAUUAAAUAGCUGAAGCUCCUUGAACCUCAUGAUUCUCCUCGGCAGAAGUAUGAGAUUUCCAGCUUUCCCGAUGCAUUCUCCUUUCAUCAUCUUUAUACCCCCAUCAAAAUAUAGAAAUUAAACUAUUAAUGUCCUCACACCACUUCCUCUGGAAAGAAUAGCACCCCAUGGAGUAAAUUGGGAUGGCAAAACUGGGCUUCGCGGGCUCAGGUUUCCAACCGAAGCUUCCUUUGAAUCUUUUCCUUUACAAAAUUAAGGGCAGCAUUUUUGGACUUGUCCUAAAUAAAAGGCGGUCCUAAUUACUUCCUAGGGUUGUUGAUAUUCCUGAUCCCAAAAAGAUUGCUUACAGCUUCUCUAGUUUCCUUUUUUGAAUUUGCACUAAAGAACAAGGAAGACUUCUGAAAAUUCACCAAUUAUGUAGAGGCUCCACCAAAAAUCUUCAAGGCAAUUCUUCAAAAUCAUGCACUUACUUGGAGUUGCUUCCUUGUAAAAAAAGGGCAUCAUCAGCAAACAGGAGAUGGGUAAGCACAGGGCCUUAUCUUUUGACCUGGAUUCCUGCAGAAGUUCCUGCAGCAGUGCUCUUGCACAGCAUUUCAACAAAACAUCAACCGCUAAAUGAAUAGAAAAAGGGAUGGCGAUUGCCCUGUCUAAUACCUCUAGAUGUGGCUAUAUUUCCAACUGUUUUGGUUCCAUAUAAAUUGAUGUUAUAAACAACAUAACAUACACACUUCAUUUAUCCAUUCUUUAUGUAUAUCACUAGAGCUCAUUUUCCUCAAAAGGUUCUCUAGAAAAUCUCAUUUGAAACAAUCAUAAGCUUUUUUCAUAUCUAUUUUAAGGGCACACUCCUCACUUUUCCCUCUGUUCUUAUUUUCUAAUAAUAAAACAGUUCAUGAGCUACUCUAAUAUUGUCCUCAAUCAACCUAUCAGCCAUAAAGGCGCUUAUUGAGGCGAGAUUAGCCCAAGUAGACAAGUUUUAAGCCGUUCACCAAAAUUUGGAGAUGCUUUGUCUAGAAAGUUGCGCGCACAAGCUAAUGGGGCGAAAUUGAGAAACAUCUUCACGAUGGGGAGACUUUAGGAGUUAAAACAGUGUCGGUAGAAUUUAAGGAAAGAGGAAACUAACCAGACUCAAAAAGAAGUUCUUCACCUAGCAGCUUGACUUAGUCCAUAAAUUUUUAGCCCAUUUUAGUUAUUUCAGCUGGAUUUGGUUCGCUAGUUUUUUUUUUCAUCCUUCCAAUGCUUGGUGCCUAAGUCUAACUUAGACUAUAUUGACGUGGUGAAUCCUUUCGAGGUAGCCACAUCAUCGAUAAAAUCUAGGCCAUCGGCUUUGGAUUUGUUCAAAAUCUUGAUAACCACUUCAUUACAGCUUUGGAGCUUUCCUUCAUGAACCAAUCCAUAUCCUCUGCUACGUAGUUUGUACUUGAACUUUUGAGUUAUCUUCUUAAUAUUAUCUUAUGGGCAAAAUGUUGUUAGUAGCCUGUAGAAACUCUGCUAUCUUUUAGGCCAUAGCUAAGUGCCUUCCGUUUCAUUUAUGAAUUAGAAAUAUCAACACAUAUGAUGCUCCGAGUAAGAAUCGUGUUAUGAUCAACUGGGCUGCGGAGAGAAUGCAAAUAUAUUAGCAUAUAAAACAUAAGAAUAUAUCAAGAAUUGCAUAUCAUUUGUUAUCAAAUGGGUAUCGUCUUUUUGUUCUGAACAAUGAUUAACGCUGAGAACUAGUUGAGCAUUCUCUAUACUUGAUUUAGAUGAUCUGGCAAGAAAAUUUAACAUUGGCUGGUUUGUACAUCAAUUUCCCGGAUGCUCCUAUCGUUCACGAGAGUAACUAGUCGAACACCUCAACAUCAAUUUCAAGUUGUGAAGCUGACUCGUGAUCACGCUCGUGGUUGAAAAGUGACGACGAGCAGGGCUGAAUCUAUCUGACUAGCUACCUCCACAUCUCGUGCCCCACGGUAAUCUUGCUCGUCCUUCGUUGGAAGCACAAGCGAUGACAGAGGCCGCACACAUGCUGAUUUCGCAAGUUCCGAACCUCAUCGCAGGUGGACACCAGGCUGCAAACGUCAGGGAACCUUUCCAACCAUCGACUUUUAAUGUCUCGUAGCUUGAACCACUUGGAUUCAAACCACCUUUGCUUUCUCUGAAGGUGUUACAUGUUACUUAAUGCGGUUUAGCAAGAAAUUCUGCGUUCAUUCGCCUUACUUGGUCUGGAGUUUCUACCGGCGAAUCUCUUCCUGCGUCAUGGCGGUUUUGUUCUUUUGCCCAUCAGUGCAUUUAAUUGGUAGUGAAUCAAAUAUGAUAAUAGCGAAUAAGAUGAUUUUAAUCUUAUAUAUCAAUCAAUACAUCUCCUAGUACAGACGGACACAGUUUGCCUGUCUAGAAAAAUGUAAGACCCCCUUUUAUGUCUCAGCAUUGAGUGAACACAAAAUUCUCAUUAUAUUUAGUGGUUGAGCUUGUACAUCAUAUUUAGGCUUUUAUAUUGUUUUAGGCUUCUGUAUGAGGUGCAUGUUUAGGACCUGUUAAGUAGAGAGGAAGAUUGAACUACUGAAGAUGAUCACUUUCUAUCUUGUCCUUAAGAUCAAAAUGAGAUGUGGAAAUUCAAGUUUGUCUAUGUCGAUCGUUGGGAUGGUUCCACUAAUUAAUAAUGCUUAAACUUCUGUGCUAACAGUCUUAUAGUUUUGGAAACUAAAAUAGUCAUUUAUUAACUAAUAUGGCUUCAUGGGAACAGUGUGUAUGGACUAGCCGAGGUCAUAGUAUCCAUAAGAUAAAUGAAUUAUAAUUAGGGAUGAAACCAAGUAACUGUAGCAAUACACCCAAGUGACAUCAAGAAUGCUUUGGAAUAGAACAGAGCAUCAAUAUCUAGUAUCCGAAAAACUGCAUGCUCCAGGAAAAUCCCAUAGGCAAAAAGCGUGAGUGUUUUAGAUUUCACAAAUCAUAUUGCUAAAAGUUUGCGAGAUCCAUUUGAGGCCUUUCGCUGGUAUUUUGACUAUAGUACGACCAUAUCUAGGGCUUACAUAGAGCAUAAUGGAUCCUGGUUCAAGUAACAUAGGUGCAAGGGAGAAAAUUCUAAAACAGAGCUUCGAUGCAGACAAUGAAUGAGACAAAUUAAGAUGCAUCUCAUCAGUAGUCAUUGAAUGCACAUGUUCUGUCUGUGCAAUGGUGGAACCGGUUUGCAUCCCUUAUGACUAUAGAAUUUUCGGUUGCCAUGGAGAUAUACUUGAUCGCAGAAUGACAGUCUUUGCAAAUGCUAAGAUUCUUAAACACCCAGAUAGGUUUUGUACUGGAGGUGCUUAUAAGGCCAAAAACAACGGUAAUUUUUUUCACUGUGCUCAAAUAUUGUUCCUUUUGUCCCUCCUCCACAUCAUGAAGAACAAAUUCAGUAUCCAGAAGAUCACCGAGUUUCUUUAUUCGACUAGCCAAUUGGUCCUGUGCAUCAUGGAUCUCCCCAGCGACAUGUCACCCAUAUAGAACUUCUAUUUUUUCACUUCAAUCCAGCUACAACCAGGUUCUUUUAUAAGAUUUUUCAGCUUCAUCCUCUUCCUGAUAUCUGCUGCAUCUUCCCAUGGACCAGUUGAUGCAUACACAUUUGAUAGCAAAACAAAAGCAGGAAGGUCAUCCGGCUCCCACUCAAAAAUCAUUGCUGCAGCUUGUUUUGCAAGUUCAACAUUGCCGUGAACUUGGCAAGCUCCGAGAAAUGUAUGCCGGACAAGUGUAUCGGCCCUGGAAAGGCAUUGAAAGUAUAUAAUCUGAAGGGCUUCAACAAGGGAGCCUUAUCUGCCCAAUAAGUCCGUGCAUGCAUAGUAUUCGAUUCUGGGCAUGAAUCCAUGUUCUAUUGAUCUAAAGUGUUUCCAUCCAUCCAUCCAUCAGAUACCAAACCCACAUGGCUACAAGAGGAUAAGACAGCAACAUAGGUGAUCUCAUUUGGCCUCACCCUGGCGUCAAGCAUUUUAUGGAAUGUGACCAGAGCUCUCGUUGCAAAUCCAUGUUUAGCAAAACCAGUGAUCAUUGAAGUCCAAGUUUUAACAUUUGUCUCUCGUCUCACGGGAAACUCGAAAAGCAGCUUCUGUGUUUUCACACCUGGAAUAUAUUGAGAUCAAACCAUUGAGAAUCCACUGAUUUGAGUCGAGCCCUUAUUUGCGUCCCCUCAACAAUAGCGCCAAUACAGGCAGCUCCACUUAAAAGGCUGGAAAAUGUAAAAGCAUUUGUCCAAUUCCUCUCUCCUCAAUCUCAUAUAGAAGUUCAUAGGCUUCAUCAGACUCCAAACUUUUGGCAUAGGCAUCCGCAUGGGUAUCAUGAGAAAUCAAAUUCAUUUCAAAUAGUGCAUCCAAAGCUUUCUGAGCAUCUUCCAUGUGGCCCGACUGGGAAUACAUGCUAAUAAGAGAAUAACCCACGUAAAUAUCAAAUGCAAAGCACAAUUUUUAUAGCUACAGAGUAUACUCGUAUCCCCAUAUCUAAUAUCACAAAUAAUUCCACAUGCCUUGAGAACACUAGCAAAUGUGAAAUGGUGUGGCCUCGGUGGAUCUUUUAUUAUUUCCCAAAAGAGUUUGAUGGCCUCCUCAUUCUCUUCAGUUUGCACAUGUCCUGUGAUUAUUGGUGUCCAAGACAUCACAUCGUGAUCUUGCAUCCGAUUAAGCACCUUUCUCAAAUCAUGAAUCGAUCCACUAGCCACACACUUCACAUACAUGUCCACCAAGCUGCAUCCAACACAGACAUCUGAAGCCAGUCCAGACCAUAUGAUACAGGAAUGCAAUUUCACCCUAAGGGAUAUUAGCUCCAACCUCGAACAUGCCGACAAAACAACUGUAAGUGUAAAUCUAUCUGGCACAGCCCACUCGCCAGCAUAUCCAAAAACAAAUCAACAGCAUUCUUUGGACCACCCAACUGAAUACAUCUUGUCAUCAUCGAAGUCCAUGCAACCACAUUCCUCUCGGGCAUUUUCUCAAACAACUUAUGAGCUGAAACUAAAUCAGCACUACCCUUUGAAAACAUGUCAAUUGAUGCACACCCGACACACGCAUCAGAAUCAAGAUAGCCGCUUUUGAUUAUAAACUCGAAACUCUAUCACCAGUUGAUAUAUUCGUCGGACCCGAACAAGCCGAGGGAAAAAACCCAUCUUCAAGCAAAUGAGCUAAAGUAUCGACUGCUUCAAACGCGAUGUGGUUAUUGGCAUAGCAAGAGCUCAUGGAACUCCAAGAAACCAAAUCCCUAUUAUUACCCAUGUCCCAAAAAGUCCUCUCCGCCUCAGCCUAGUCAUUGAAUUUUGAGCAGAGACUGACGAGCGAGUUGAGAAUCACCGAGUCGGGCUCAAGCUGAGACGGAGCGAGCGCGCGAUGGACGCGCUUCCCGAGCGCAAACCCUCGGGAAGGAAUGCAGGACUUGAGGAGGAGAGAGAAGGCGAGGAGGUCGCGACAUGAGGUCGGGGUGGAAGAUUGCUCCGGGGAAUUCGGAGACAUCGAGGUGAGUGACCAGGCGGCGGUCGAGGGGCGAGAGAGAGAGAGAGAGAGAGAGGGGGGGGACUCAUUGCAUUAUACAAGUCGAGGUUGGUCUGAAAUAACAGGAAACAAGAGAUGAAAACAAUAGCCAAAGAGGCAAUUCUUCUGUAAAACACAGGAUGCUACAAACGCUGAAAUCACGAUUUACAUAGUCAAUUAUGCUUCGGAUGGAACUACUUUAUUUGGCAUUCAUUCAAACAGGAAAGAAAAAGAAAACCAUACAAUGGACGAUUCCGUAAUCUCAUUGCUAUUCUGAAAUCGGUAUCCUUCAGAAAUUGUUGAAGCACUUGAUGUAGCUGAGAAUGAUUCAAGUUCUAUUUCAGCGUUAUCAUCAAACGGCUUCUCGGACGGAUACAGAAGCGGUUUUGGAGGCAAUUGCAGUUUAUCAAUAUCUCCUUCAAGCAUGUUUAGGACUUUGCUCAUUGAUGGCCGAUCAUCAGGGAUUAAUUGUAUACACCAAAGGGCAACUAUUACCAUCUUCCUUGUUAUCUCCCUAUCCCCUUCCACUUCUUCCAUUUCAACCUCGCUUUCUUUACUGAGUUGAUCAUAGACCCACAAAGGGAAAUAGAUUUGACUUGAACGCUCAACAUUCUUUGCAUUUUUCCUCCUAUUUGCCAUUUCCAUUAGCAGCAUCCCAAAACUAUAAACAUUGGCUUUAUACGAGACACCACCAAUGUCCUUGUAGAAUAGCUCAGGAGUCAUAUAUCCUAAAGUUCAUCUUGCUGCAGUCAACAAUACGAUGCUGUGGUCCAUGGGAUAAAGUCUUGCAAGUCCAAAGUCAGAAACUUUUGGAGUGAAAUUUUGAUCUAGAAGAAUAUUGUGAGGCUUGAUGUCAAAGUGCAAAAUUUGCAUUUCACAUCCUCGAUGUAAAUAUUCUAUCCCCCUAGCCACACCAAGAGAGAUCUCAUACAUUUUCUUAGAAUCAAGAGAAUUGUCACCAUCUUUAGAGAAAAUGUGCUUAUCCAAAGAUCCAUUCGACAUGAAAUCGUACACGAGAGCUUGCUUCGAGUUGUUAAAGCAAUAACCAACAAGUUCCACCACGUUAACAUGGUGGAUCUUUCCAAUAGUAGCAACUUCGCUUAUAAAUCUUGGCCAUUAGAUUUUGAUUUGUUCAAAAUCUUAACAGCAACUUCAUUGCCACUUCUAAGUACUCCUUUGUACACAGAGCCAUAUCCUCCUUCCCCUAAUUUGUGUUUGAAUUUUUUUGUGAUUUUCUUGAUGUCUGAGUAAGUGUAUCUUAUAGGUGAAAAGUUGUUAUGAGCUACUAGGAAUUCUUCGAUGUUUUCAUCCAUUGCUUGGUGCCUUCUCUUCCAUUUAUAGACUAAAAAUAUCAACACACAUGGAGCUCCCAGCAUGAAUUUUGCCACGAGGAAGUUUUCUGUGGAAAAAACUGCGGAAAAAUUUGUCCAUAGAUUAGCGUAGUGUAAUAUAGAAAGUCAUCCUUUGCUGCUUGAGGUUUUCAGAGUUGGGAAGAAUAAAGGACUAGUCAUACCUAACAAAUAGGGGAGAUGAGGAAGUGCAUGUCACGCCCCGAACCCCGAGCGCGUGCACAUCCCACUGCGGUCGAUCAAAUAUGCGACAUCCCAAGAUACGUCGCCGACCCAUUCAUUUUAUUACGCAUGCGGAAGCGAAACAAAUCCCCUGACAAAAUUUAACUUGGGAUAGAAAAGCAGGCAAUCAAUCACAAUACCAAACACAUAAGUUUAAAUACAACUCUGGAUUGUCUACAAAAUAGACCAGCUCGACAAAAGGGGAACCGUCCUAAAACCAACUAGCAGGACACGUUCAUUGAUACUUCAAUCUCCACCUUUCCAGACUUAGGGCUUCGGGUCCUCCACGACCGCCAUCUAGGCACCUGAAAUUUUAAUCCCACAACCGGGAUGAGACGAUGUCUCAGCAAGUUCAACCCCCUAAACCCCUAUUAGAAAGAAAAUACGUCCCGGGUGGCCUAGUCACACAACAUAGAGGACUUACCUCGCCUCGGUUCUUUCCUGCAGGUUAGCACAAUUCAUAUCAUUCAAUCAUAUGCAGUAAUAAGAACUUAAACAACCGAAACGCAUUCACUUUCAUAUAACCAACAAUCGCGGGGGUCCUGAUUAUAAGACUAAAUCAUUAUGACACGUCCCAUUCCAUGCCACAUAAUUCCGUCCCAUAAUCCGACACAUCAACAACACUCAACAUGCAUUCCAAUUGUUAUUCACUGCCACACAAGGGCAUAGCCUACUCGCAGUUCGGCUAUCUACUGGCAUAUAGCCAGGCAUCGCCUCCCCCCCCAUGGAGCGCGGCUUCGUCAGUACGUCGACGGCAUUCCCGAAGGAGCAUCGUCUCCCCCCUUGGAGCACGGCUUCGUCUCUACGUCGACGGCAUUCCCGAAGGAGCAUCGAUCCAGUCGGCCCAGCCUCUACUGCGAUCGGCACCACGUCACUCUCUUAACAGCAUUUCUAAAAGAACAAAGGUCCAGUCGGCCUAGCCACUACUGCGACCCGAGCCACGUCACUCUCUCGACGGCAUUUCUAGAAGAACAAAGGUCCAGUCGGCCUAACCACUACUGCGACCCGAGUCUUUCAACCAGCACACAACAAUUCAAUAAUUAAUUGCACAAAUCAUCACUCAAUUUGUAAUAUCUAAUCAUCAAAUUCAUAAUCUGAAUACACAGCAGCGAUCAGCACAAAAUUCUGAGAAUUUAGGGUCCCAACUUAAUUUUCGGAAUUUAUUAAAUAAUUAAAUUUAUUCCGAAAAUAAUUAAAUAAUAAUAUCCACAGUUUUCGAAAUCCACACUCAAUUUAAAAUAUCCAAUCAUCAAUUUCAAAAUCCGAAUGUACCGUAGCGACCGGCACGAAAUUCUGAGAAUUUAGGGUCCCGACCAAAAUUUUCGGAAUUUAAUAAAUAAUUAAAUUUAUUCCGAAAAUAAUUAAAUAAUAAUAUCCACAGUUUUCGAAAUCCACACUCAAUUUAGAAUAUCCAAUCAUCAAUUUCAAAAUCCGAAUGUACCGUAGCGACCGGCACGAAAUUCUGAGAAUUUAGGGUCCCGACCAAAAUUUUCGGAAUUUAAUAAAUAAUUAAAUUUAUUCCGAAAAUAAUUAAAUAAUAAUAUUUUAAUAAUUUCGAAUAAUAAUAUAUUAUUAAAUUAUUUAAUGAUUUCGGGAUAUUUAAAUAAAUCAAAAGUAAAUUCCUUUAUGUCACAUCAAUGUUUAUAUUAAUAUAAACACCCACUUAACUUUAAAUUAAACACAAUUUAAGUUAAUCAAGCAUAUUAAUAUAAUCUACACUUAAAUAAAUUAAACUAACCACCUAAUAACACUUAACAUAAACUAAACACACCUAAAGCAUCAUUAACCCUCUAAGCGAGGUUUAGUGAGUUAAACUCACCGGAUUAGCGAGCCGAGCGAACCAAAACGACGGGGACGCCGAGGAGAACAACUUUCCUCAAAGCGGGCCAAGCAUCCGGGCUCGGGAAGGCGGCCAAAACGGGCCAAACAUGGGCUGCCAUACCCAUUUUCUGGGUUGCUGAUCGGGGCCGAGAGGGAGCAGAUCCGGCGCCGGUUCGGGCGGCCAAGGGCGGCGGAGGCAAGGCGAAGCUCCGACGGGCUAAGGCGGGGGCGCACGGCGGCUCACGGUGGCUGAUUCGUGACCUAGGCUGGUCGGACAGCCUCCCAAACGUGAAGACGAGCGAGGACGACGGCGAACGUGGGAAGAGCAGCGGCGCGACGGCAGCGAGCGGCGAGCUCCGGUGACGGGCGACGAGCGGCGAAGGAGGCGGACGGCAAGGGGCUGCUUCGGCUUCUUCCUCUGCAAUUUUUUCUGGUCUUCGCACACCAACCAUGGAGGAAUCGCACGGGAGAGGAAGAAGAGAGGGAGGAGAGAGAAGAAGGGAGGCCAAUUUCUUUUCCUUUUUCCCUUUUCUUUAAUCCAACAAAUUGGCCCACCACAUGACCUCAUGGGUGACAUCACACUCCACUCACCCAAUCCCCCACAACCUUUUCCAAUGGUUGCAAAUCUCAUUUUCCGCCGGGGCAUAAAAUUUUGUACAACCAAUUCUUCAAUUCCCCUUGAUUCUCUUCCAAUUGAAUCAAAUUGAAGUUCAUAAAAUUAAUCCAAUGUCACCACACUUCAAUUCACCUAAUUACUUGACCAUAGACCAUCUUGAGUCCCAAAAGCACAACCAAAAGCGGGCCUACCAAUUUUCCAAACCAAAUUAACCAUACCUUGAUUAUUUUGCCGAAAAACUCGGCUUGCAUGAAAAAUCAUCCAAAGAUGAGUCCAUACUCCUAAAAUGAUUUGUGACACACCCAGACUUUCAAUUUCUGAAUUCGAUCUCAAUUCCACGGUUAAUUUCACUUUGGCACGAUACUAGCGCGGCCCAACCUACCGAGUAGCCUUUAGAAAUUUUCAUGCAUUUGACCUGUGGUUGAUCAUCUCAAGCCACAAUGUACAUCUUUGAAACAUUGGCGACAUUCGGUUGUCGGGGAAAUCUCAAGGUUUCAAAUACGAACACAGGGUACCCAAUCGAUAGAAAAGUCGGUCCAGUGUCGAUCGACAAGGAUUAUGCGAUCCGGUGGAAUCACCCACACUCGAUCACAUGCCUUUGUCGAGUCGACCUAUCUCCGGUCUCUAAUCGAUUUUUAUUUGUGCCGUAAUGACCCUUGCAGAUUAGCUCGGUCGAAAUGUCGCUUCCUGGUCAAAUUCUCGAGUCUGAUGCAUUAGAAACUCUUAACAGCUUUACCCGAUAGACUAGUUUUCACAUGAGUGGCCGACUCAAGGAAAAGAACUAUAUGCGUGCCAACGAAAUGCCCGUCUCAAUUUAUUGAAAAUAGAAUCGGAAAAUCGGGAUGUCACAGUGCAUAUCUCGCAACUAUCGCCGCCAUAGAAGUAUCUGUAGAAAGCAAGAAGAAUUUGUUCGAGAUGACUGAAAUGAUUACAAAGUGUUGACAACCAAUCAAUGGAGACCUAAGCUUAUCAUUUUAGCGGUAAAAUAUAAAAUGAAUACUCGUUAAGCUAUGACCAAGUCAAAGAUAAAUUGAUACGAUCACUGCAUAGUGCAAUGACAGACUUUUAUUCAUUAAAAGUUGCAAGUAGAGAAGUCUAGAAUAAAGAAGAGUGACUGAGUUUCACUCUCCUAUAAUUAUCGUAGAAUAAUCUCUUUUAUAAAAAAAAAAAAAAAAUGACUUCGCUUUUGUUCCCCUAGAUGUACCAAGGGCGAGUUUGUUUAUAUUUCUGUUCAAAAAUUAUUCCGGGAAAUAGAAAUAGAAAAUCUAUUUCUAUUUCUGGGGAACAAUUUUUGACUAGAAAGACGCGUUUGGUAAACUUGUUUUGGGAAUAAAAAAUGAAUAGAAACAUGUUUGGUAAAUUUAUAUUCUUUUUUUUUUAAUUUUUUAAUAUUUUUAUUUUAUUUUUCCUUUUUUUUCUUUCUUUUUUCUUUUUUUCUUCUUUUGGCCGGUCACCGGCCUCAGCCAUGGCCGGCGACUGGCCGACGAGGGCCAGUGGCCUCGCCCAGCCACGAUGAGGCUCAAGCUGGAUCUGGGCGAGGCUGAGCUCGCGGAGCCUCGCCCCGUGCUAGCGAGGCUUGGCUGGCGCGAGGUGAGGCUUGGCGAGCUCGGGCUCGCCCAAAUCCGGUGAGGCCGAGCCUCACCGGUGGCUGGGCGAGCUUGGCCUCGCUGGAUCUGGGCGAGCUUGGGCUCGCCCAGCCAAGGUGAGGCCAAGCCUCGCCAGGGGCCGGCGACGCUCCGGCGAAGUUGCCGGCCCUCGACGGCUGGUCGCCGGCCAUGGCCAAGGCUAGCGACCGGCCAAAGAAAAAAGAAGAAAAAAAAAGAAGAAGAAAAGAGAUGAGAGAGAAAUGUUCUUCAAAAGUGUUUUUGGAACAAAAAAAUAAUUUUUUUUUGGUUUCUUAUUUCUAUUCUAUUUUUGUUCCUGGAAUAAAUAAAUAGGUUUUGAACAAAAACGCAAACAAACGUGUUUCUACUCUUUUUUUGUUCCUGGAACAAAAAAAGAGAAAAUCCGUUCAUGAAAAAAAAAAAAAAACACAAAUAUGCAGGCCCCAAGUGAUUAAUUAUGAUUUCCAAACGUCAUCUAACAUAUGCGCAAUUUAUUCUCCUGCAUGAUAAUAACCACCAUAUAAGUGACACAAGCUACUAUCAAAUCAAAUAUUUUUUCCCAAAUCAACUAUGAAGUAAUUGAAUCUAGAAAAGCUUCAUGAGUUGUAGAACAAUAAAAGAGCUCAAUCUACUCGGAAAUCUUAUUUAACUUUUUUAUUUCAGUGGUGUGGUAAUUUUUUUUAUUGGAUAUUUAAAGAAAUUAGCGACACAAUGUGUGGAUCCCACAUAUGAUGGUAUCCAAUUGAAACUUACCAUGUUGCUGGAUAAGUAAAUUUUGAUAAGAUCUCUUCAUAGAGCUUGCAUUUAAGAAAAGGAGGAGGAAGUAAAGAAAAGCGGAAGGGAAAGUCGCUUACUGGAGUCAUAGAUACUGCACCUCCCGCGGUAGUUGAAACCCAAGAUGCAAAAUUCAGCUAGUCCAAUACUUGACGAACUCUGAUAGUAGGAUAAAAUAAAUCCCUGCGCGAUCCCGUUGUGGAUGUCCUUGUAGUUGCAUGAUGAGCACACACGAUGAGACUGAUCCCUUUCCCACCCAAAGAAUAAGUCUGACGCAAUUGUCCCCGCGGUUAUAGUGCAAGAAUCCUCGAUGUCCGAUGCUUUAAAUACAAGAGAAGCGUAUGAGUACACUUUCGUCUGGGGAAAAUUUUGAGGCGUGCCGGCAGAGUAUGCUCCCUCGAUGCACGGUUGGGUAUCAACAUACCGAUUAGAAGCAACAGGCUGUGAGCACUCCACAAAGACCACUCGCGUUUUAGGAUAAAUGUAGAGAACACUUCCAAUUUCGGGCCUCGCCAACCAAUAACGAGGGUGGGAUGAGCAAUUACCCUCUUGCAGGCCAUCGUCAACCACCGUUAUGUGACCACGGAAGUUAGAUUUGUUGCGAUACGAAUUGUAAUAGAUUGACUUCACAUAAUAUCUACCAGCUUGAAGAUAUAGAACCGUGCGGUUAUUUUCACAAACUAGCUCAUACUUAGAGUGACCGCAGCUUUUUGGAUUGCUUUUCAAUCGAAAGGGAUAGCUUAUGUUACGGAUUUCACCACAAGAUGAAGCGGUGCAUAAAUGAUUUUUCUUCGCACUACAAUAAUAGCAGAACUUGUAAUAUGAACAAAAGCACACGGUACAUACAUACGGAGCCGAGAGAUUUGGUCAUCUCUCCACUGGUCGAUGCAAGAAUGGAGGUUUUAGCUUGGAGAUUUUGGUGGAGGCUCAACAAAGGCAGGGAUUAUUUAUGAUCGGAAAGAUCAGUUGGGGGGUCAUCUGUCAUUAAAUUUCCAAGCCAAGUAACACGAAGUCAAGUCAAGGAAAUUAACUUGUGUGGACCAAUUGAAGAUUCCAUGAGUGGAAAUUAUGCAGGGAUCGUUUUGCACGUGGUCAAGCUCACAUAACACGGUAGUGAAUUAAUUUAUGGAUAGCUUUCACAUUGACUAGGAAGGAAGCAAAAAUCAACAAGAUGCAUCACAGUAACUUGUGGAUCCUUCUUGGCUACUUCACUUAUGAAAUCUUGAUUCUUAGAUUUUGGUUUAUUCGAAGUCUUAAUAACAACUUCGUUGCCAUUUCGAAGUAUUUCUUUAUAUACAUAAUCAUAUCCUCCUUCACUCAACCUGUGGUUGAAUUUUUUUUUUUUAAUUAUUUGAAUAUCCGAGUAAAAAUAUUUUAUAGUUAUAAAUUUGUUAUGAGCUUAUAAAAAUUCUUUUGAUGCCGUUGUCCAUUGCUAGAUGUCUUCUCAUGCACUUAUAGAUUAAAAUUAUCAACACACAUGGAGCUUUGAGUACGAAUGGUGUUGUGCUUCUACGAGCUGUAAUGAGUGUUCCACAUAAAUUAGCAUAUAUAUAUAAAAUCCGUAUUGCGAUAAAAGUACUGCAUAUAAUUUGCUAUCCAUUCAAUUCGAUGUUAGACAUGACUGUAAAGUGCAUAGAAGUUCUGCAUAUCAUUUGCUAUGCAUUUACGAAUAUAUUGCACUUUGAUUUCCCUAGCAAAUAAAUGUCCUUCAAACAGAAUUCGACCAAUUUGCCGAUCAAAAUGCCCAUGAAACCUUCACUUGACAUGACAUUACGUGUAACUUCACUUGAAGCCACACCAUUGUGUCAACAUUUCCUAAGGAAAUUGGUUAGAUUAUGAUAAGAGUGUAUUAAUUGAAAGUAAAUUAAAGAUCAUUGUGUCACGUGAAUGAAAUUAAAGGGCAGUGAACCUAUACUGAAGCAAAGGUUGACAGUCUCAAUUGAAUGUAUCCUCGCAUGUUUCGUAGCCCAUCCUAUUGAAAUCCAUAAUCACUGGGAUUCGCCCCAGUGGCUACCCUUCCAACAUGGAAGGGGGAGGUGAGGGGUUCAAAUCCCCACCUUCUCAGGGGGGGAUGGGGUGGGGAGGCGUAAGUUUCAGAAGUGGGUUUCGACUCCCACGCCCUGCAAGAGGCAGGACAAAAGUCUGAAAGUAAGUGUAGAGUAGGAAUAGAGUAGGAUUGACAAAAAAAAAAAAAAUCCUAUUGAAAUCCAUAAAGUAAGUGAGAAAUUGAUUUCGUUAAAACAUGACUUUAUAGAACGAUCCAAGAGAAUCAAUUACCAAGAUUAAGUCAAAUCUGAGUCCGUCAACAUACUUAAUUGAAUUCACCCUCACUCAAAAGUGUAAAUAAAUGAGCCAUGAGCCAACUAAAAUAUAUUAAUCACUCAACACCAUACCACUUUUUUGAUGUGAGGCUUUUUCUAACAUUACUUACACGUAUAUCUCGAUAAUGAGCAGAUUUCAAAUUUAAAGUUUUUACAAAACUUUGUUUUAUGCUUUGUAAAAGAAAUAAUGAAUAGUACGACUCGACAAUAAGUUCACGCAAAUUCAUUAAUAGUUUACAUUUCUUUAAAAAGAAAAAAUUGAGAGUCCCAGGUGCUUUUAAUUUAAAUCUUAGGCCAUAGAUGGAAGAGUGACCGAUUUACUCAGCCGAUUCCAACCUGAACCCGGCCGAAGAAGACCUUCCUCACCGGAUGAGCGCAACAUACUGAAACCAAAGAAUUGAUACCAGAUUGAGAGGCCAUCCAAAACUCAUCCGACAACAAAACUAACAUUUCUUUUUUCCGAAGAUUGGACAAUAUUCAAAUAUCCAAACAUUACGUUCCGACUUUAGAUCAUUAAAUUUGAUGGGAUUCACAUGGGGAUGGGAGGAGGAAGCACCCCGGAGAACAAAGCCCUUAAUUUAAAGACUAGACUACAAACGAUAAGCGAAGUAAUUAUCGAUUCCGUACCCAUUCAUUCGUGGAAGGACAAUAAUAGAGUGCGGGACACCUGGAGUGCCAUAACUUGGCACGCCGGGACACUUAAGUGCCAUAACUUUAAAAUGGUACACUUAAGUGCCAUCAUCGGAGUAAAAUGGGACACUUAAGUGCUACUCCGGCGAAAAUCCGGCCAAAUGGCUGACGUGGCGACUUUCCGGCGAGCUCGGUCCCAAACGGCGUCGUUUUGCACGCUGACGUGGCGGAGAAAAUGCAAAAACGACGCCGUUUCGCGUCUACGUGUAAAUAAUAGUAUAUAAAUUAAUUAAAUUAGAUUUAAAAUAUUCAAAAAAUUUAAAAAAAAAUAAGAAAAAUUUUAAAAAUUUUAAAAAAUUAAGAAAAAUUUUAAAAAUUAAGAAAAAAUUUAAAAAUUAAGAAAAAUUUUAAAAAUUAAGAAAAAAUUUAAAAAUUAAGAAAAUCUAAAAAAUUUAAAAAAUUAAGAAAAAUUUUAAAAAUGUUAAAAUUUUUAAAAUUUUUAAAAAUAAGAAAAAUUUUUAAAAUUUAAAAAAUUAAGAAAAUUUAAAAAAUUUAAAAAAAAAAUUUAAAAAUUUUAAAAAAUUUUAAAAAUUUUAAAAAUUUUAAAAAAUUAAGAAAAUUUUAAAAAAUUAAGAAAAUUUUAAAAAAAUUUAAAAAAAUUAAGAAAAUUUAAUUUGUCCCCUAUAAGAAAAAUUAAGAAAAAUUAAGAAAAUUUUUUAAAAAAAUUAAAAUUAUAAAAAAUUAUAAAAAAGUGGGGAGUGGGAGGCCGAAUGGGGUGGCUCCCUCACCGCCGCCACCUCCGCCGCCGCCGCCUCCCCCCCCCCCUUUUUUUAAUUUUUUAAUUUUUUUAAAUUUUCUUAUUAUUAUUUUUUAAAUUUUUUAAAUUUUUUAAAAUUAAAAUUUUUUAAAUUUUAUUAUUUUCUUAAAUUUUUUAAAUUUUUUUUUAAAUUUUUUAAAUUUUUUAAAUUUUUUUUUAAAUUUUUUAAAUUUUUAAAAUUAAAAUUUUUAAAAUUAAAAUUUUUAAAAUUUUCUUAUUUUUUAAAAUUUUUUAAAAUUAAAACUUUGAAUUUUUUUUAAUUUUUUUCUAAUUUUUAUGCUGAUUUGGAGCUCCGGCGAGCCACGUAGGCAAAAAAUAAUAAUAAAAUAUUGCCACGUAGGAUUUCUGGCAAGGGUCGCCGGAGGUGGCACUUAAGUGUCCCACUCGAAAAAAAAAGUGGCACUUAAGUGUACCGUUUUGAAGUUAUGGCACUUAAGUGUCCCGGCGUGCCAAGUUAUGACACUUGUGGUGUACUUCUGCCGACAAUUAAUAUAUUAGCCUCCGCGGAAGGACGGCUCUGUAAAGGAUGCACCUCCGACUUUUUAUCUAUUUUGAGGUGCUUUUCUUCCCUCAACUUGUGACUCUUCACAGACGGAAGGAGAGAAAAGACAUGAUUUUUUAGAGGAACCUCAAAAAAAUUUAAGAAGUCGGCGCAUUUGUUUUUGCCUCACUAAAAGCAAAAGGCAACUUAUUACUUUCCAGUCUAAUGUUAAAAUACUACUCAAAUUUUUUUAAAAAAAAAUUAUGAAAAAAUUAUACCCAGAAUUAUGUGUCGAUGUUUUCUCAAGAUGAAAAUUUCAGACACUUAAAAGAGUUAAAAAGAACUGAACGAGCAAAAAGUGUUUCCGUAGUCUUUGCACUGUACUUAUCUUUUGACCAAACCAAGGAAGCACGAGCUAGAAACUUUCCUCCGCGGUACAGGCUUUAACUUAUAUGUAGCUGAUGAAGGCUUCAUUGCCUAUCGCGUUAUGGAGAUGCUUGUGUGGUGAAAACAUACGAUUAAAACAUGCCCAUGUCAUCAUGGGUGAUGCUGCAACAUUCCUCAAUUACUGAUGCAUUUGCAUCUAUUGCAUCUCGUAUAUACCCGCUUUUUUGAGAUACUUUACAAGAUUUGUCCUGAGGAGUAUGCCCCGUCGAUACAUGAAGAGUCGCAACAGGUCUGGGACACUUCAGAAAGACCACUGAUUUAACAUAAAACAUAAAGUUGGAGUUCAUCGAUGAAUAAUGAGGAAGAGAGGAGUGAUUACACUUGUGCAAUCCAACAUCAAGCAUGAGGAUAUCACUAGUGACAUGGUAAUUAUUUCCAUAGAUGAAUUUGAUAUUGCACUUCGUAUGACUAUUUUCACACGCUAGCUCAAUUCUUGAGUCACCACAGACUUUGGGAUCGCUUUUCAAUUGCAAGACAGCGCUUAUCUUGUGAACAUUGCCACAAGAUGAAGCUGAACAUGAUCUAUCAUAGCUGGCGUUACAAGUACAUGCCCCUAGUAGCACGACAAGAAAGACCAAUGAGACAAGGUAGGUGUGUGGAAUUGAGGGGGAAAUCAUGUUCCUCUCAGCCUGUGGGCAAUUGAAAUUUGGGGCUCGGUAUGUUGGGAAGAAUUAAUGCGGAUCGGAUGUGAGAGAGAGAAGUUGGAUACAAAGACUUGGGGUCGUCUAUUGAAAAAUCCAUCUCAACCAAACAAAACAAAAUCGAUCAAGUCAAAAACGUUAGAGGAGUAGUGAGUAGGACCCAACAUCAUCAUCAUCUCUUGCUAGCAAGAAAACAACCCUUUUUUUUUUUUUGGUCUAAAAAAAACAUCACAAUUGACAACCCAUAUAUUUAGCCAUCAUAUGACAUCAUUUCAUAUUUUUGGAGAAUUUUUCUUAGAUAAUUGAAGUAUUUCACAUUUUCCGAGUAAUUUAUGAUGUUAAUGGGUUUCUUUUUUCUAAGAUGACAAGGAAGCCGUCUUAGGAAUCAAUGCAGACCUUGAAUCAAGUGAAUCCAUGUGAAUUAUGAUUAUAUGGAUUCUAGUAGUUAAGAAUUGAACAUAUUCAAUUCAAAGGAAAAAGGAAAAUGUUAAGAAAUAGAAAGAAUUAUCCAAUCUAUUCCCCCGUUAUAGAAGAAAAUUUCCCGAAAGUCUUUAAAAUAAAAGAGUUAAAUUUUGUUAGUUCCCUCGCUAUCUUUGGGAAGAAUCUUAAGUCACCGAAAACAAAAGGAGGUAGGGUUCACCAAGAAAGGUCAAUUGAUGUGACCUUUGGCUAGUUAUUGAUGUAAGCAAUGAUGAACAAAGAUUUAGGCUGAGGGGUAGUGAAACUUUUGACGAAAUAUGGAGUCAAAUUUCACUUUAUUCAAGAAUUUUCAAUAAAAUUAUAGUGUCAUUAAUAAAUUUAAGAAAAUACAAGUUCAAUUCAAAAUUUUAUAUAUUUUGUUCUUGAUUCUUUAUAGAAAUCUACGUAAGUAUUGGGACAAGAGAGUGCUUUUUGCUUGAUGUCUCUCGGUUAUAAUUAUGUCAAAUAUUGAAGUUUGUUUUUUAGCUAUAACUUUUCCACUAUAAUAUUCAAUUAAUUAAGGUUGGCUUCAUCCUUAUUUAAUUUUUAAAAAAAGAUUUACUACAUGACAUAUAUUUCGCAUACAAGGCAUGUAUCUAAUGUUAAACUAGAAUAACAAUUUCUUACACAAAGAAUUAUAUGAAGAAAUAGAUAAUACAAUAGACUUGUUAGUACAUAUAAAUAUGAUGAGAAUAUGUCAUCAGUCUACAUACCUGCAAUUUACAGAUUUGCCUAUUGAGUAUAGCAUAUCGCAAUUUCCAUUAAGCAAAUUGACCCUGAUUUUAGUAGAGUUUUUUUUUUUUUUUAAAGAAAAAAAUUGACCAUGAAAUUAAAGAUGCGGUGAAUUUCUAUAUACUAAUUUGUAGAUUAUUUUCAAGGGGAGGCGAUUCACUUAUAAUUGAUUAUUUCGUAUGUGUCUAAAUUCAUGUAAGAAAAUUUGGGGGGAGGAAAUUUGCCGCCGAUAUAGGUAUUUAAGCCAGUUGAGGAAUUUUCAGUAAAGUACUCUACAACCUCGUUAAUUAAAAUUGCCUUAGCUGAAUUAUAAUUUUUAAGAGGAAAUUGUCAUUGUUCUUUUUUAAUUUUACUUACCAGUAGUUUCAUGUUAAUUUUUAAAACGGAAUAUGAGUUUUUCCAAUAUGAACUUCAUAGAACUGAUUCAUCUAAGACCUUCUUCUUUUUUAUCUUCAUAAAACUUGUUUUUCGUGCAAACAGAUGGUGUAUACUUUUUGUAAAGCAUAGACAUGGAUAUUUUCUCUGAAAAUAAAUCCAUGAGUCGAAAUCAGCAGUUAUUAACAUCGAUAAUUCAUAUGCUGUAGGUAUCAUGAUAAGGAGCAAGAUCGUAGGUUAUUAUUAGCUUUUAAUGGCAAUACCCUAAAUCACGUAAUGAGGGAGGAAAUGUCCCAAUGUCUGUCCCCUUCCCCUACCGUUUUUGUCCUUACUCUGUUACUAAUUUCUCAAGUUCCGAACCUCAUCGUAGGUGGUCACCAGGCUGCAAACUUCAGGAUACCUUCAUCGACUUUAAUGGCUCAAAGUUUGAACCACUUGGAUUCAAACUGUGUUUACUUUCUCUUAAGGUGUCAUGUUAUUUAAUGUUGUUUAGCAAGAAAUUAUGCGUCAUUCCCCUUAUUGCUUGAUCUGGAGUUUCUACCGGUGAAUCUCUUCUUGCAUCGUGGCAGUUUUGUUCUUUUGCCCAUCAGUGCAUUCAACUGGUGAUGAAUCAAAUCUAAUAAAAGCGAAUAAGAUGAUAUUAAUCUUAUGUAUCAAUCAGUACAUUUAGUAUAGACGGACACACUUUGCCAUUUAUAGGACGCUCCUAACUUAGCUUUUGGCAGCGAUUUCAUUCCAAUUUGUGUUCUCCAAACCAAGAUUGUUCAGUCAUUAAAAGUGUUUAAUUUUUUUUACCCUGUUUUGGGAAGAUCCUUUGUGCUUUAUCCAUUUCUAGGUAUCUGAAGCAAUCGAAACAAUUGUGCAAAAAUGUACAUUGUUUUUUGAAAGGUUAAUACCCUGAAAAACCCCAAAUUGAUACAUUUGUGACAAAUUUACCCCAAACUAUUUUUUUGACCACCAAAAACCCCAAACUGGUAUGCCUUUGACAAAUUUACCCCCAAACUAGUACACUUAUGACAAAUUCACCAUCUGUUAAUUUUCGUUAAAUUUUAUUAUCAAAUUAUUAAGUUAAAUGACACGUGACAGUUGACUGGUAUACCAAUUUAGGAUUUUACACCCUGUUUGUCACAGUUUACAAUUUUUGUGAUUUUUUUGUAGUAUUAAUCCAAUUUAGCAUAGUGUAUAUUUGUCAUAAAUUUACCAUUUUGGGGUUUUUUGCAGUCGAAUAAAUUAGUUUGGGGUAAAUUUGUCAUAAAUGUACCAGUUUAUGGUUUUUUAUAGUCAGUUGAGGUAAAUUUGUCACAAGUAUACAAGUUUGGGNNNNNNNNNNNNNNNNNNNNNNNNNNNNNNNNNNNNNNNNNNNNNNNNNNNNNNNNNNNNNNNNNNNNNNNNNNNNNNNNNNNNNNNNNNNNNNNNNNNNNNNNNNNNNNNNNNNNNNNNNNNNNNNNNNNNNNNNNNNNCUACUUAUGCUUAGCCCUGAUGAGCAACUUUUUGCGGCUUCUGUUCAGGAGUACCCUCGCUAAUUAGGCACGAGGUGAGGGCUAUCCGUCUGCGGAUUUCUGAGUAAAGCGGAUAUCACCUAUUCCUUAUCAACGUAGUUGUCUAGUAGAAUGUUUGUUUAGUAGGGAAACUCAUGCCGAGGGGACAACAACGAGGAACAAAAUGCCUGUCUGAAAGAAAUGCAAGACACCAUCUCUGUCUCAGCAAUGAGGGAACACACAAAUUCUCAUUAUAUUUAGGGAUUGAGCUUGUACAUAUUAUUUAGCCGGUUAUUUUGUUUUAGGUUUUUGCAUGAUGUGCAUUUUUGGGACCUGUUGAGAGGAACAUUGAAUUACUGUAGAUUAUCACUUUCUCUCGUCCUUAAGAUCAAAGUUAGAUGUGAAAAUUUGAGUUUGUCUAUGUCGAUCGUUGAGGUCUUUAAACUAAUUUAUGAUGUUUAGACUUCUGUGGUGACAAUCUGAUUAUGUAGUUUUCAAAACUAAAAUAGUCAGGUAUUAACUAAUAUAGCUUCAUGGGAAUUGUGUGUGGACUCGCCAAGAUCAUAGUAUCCAUAAUAUAAAUGAAUUAUAAUUAAGGAUGAAACCAAGUAACCAUAGCAAUACACCUUAGUGACAUUGGGAACGCUCUGGAAACCUACAUGCUCCCGGAAAAUCCCAUAGGCAAAAAGCGUGACUGUUUUAGAUUCCACAAAUCAUAUUGCCGAAAGUCUGCAAGAUCCAUUUGAGGCCUUCCGCUUUGUUUUUUGACAGUAUGACGACCAUAUCUAUAUACAUUUCAGAACAUGACAUUUACAAUUCUUGGGCUUACAAGGAGCAUAAUGGAUCCUGGUUCAAGUAACACAGGUGCAAGGGAGAAAAUUCUAAAAUAGAGAUUCGAUGCGCAGACAAUGAAUGGGACAAAUUAAGAAGCAUCUCACCAGUAGUCAUUGGAUGAGCAUGUUCCGUCCGUAAAAUGGUGGAACUGGGUUCGCAUGCCUUACAACUAUAGAACUUCCGGUUGCCAUGGAAAUACACUUGAUUCUAUGAAGACAAUCUCUGCAAAUGCUAAGGUUCUUAAACACCCAGACAGGUUUCAGACUGGAGGUGCUUAAAAGGCCAAAAACAACAGCAAUUUUUUCAAGGUGCUGGAGCAAAUAUUGUUCCUUCUGUCCCUCCUCCACAUCAUGAAGAACAAAUUCAGUAUUGAGAACAUAACCAAGUUUCUUUAUACGACUAGCCAAUUGGUCCCGUUCGUCAUAGAUCUCCCGAGCCUCUGGGUGUGAUGUAUGAAACUUGUGAAC
RNAcentral lists this long non-coding RNA (87594 nucleotides) under Eucalyptus grandis. RNAcentral's name for it is "long non-coding RNA (EGRA_LNC006233)". Lineage: Eukaryota; Viridiplantae; Streptophyta; Magnoliopsida; Myrtales; Myrtaceae. The record is from RNAcentral.